RNAcentral lists this long non-coding RNA (54335 nucleotides) under Triticum aestivum (bread wheat). Its description in RNAcentral is "long non-coding RNA (TAES_LNC006559)". The record is from RNAcentral. Lineage: Eukaryota; Viridiplantae; Streptophyta; Magnoliopsida; Poales; Poaceae.
GCGAUAGCGCCUAGUGCGAGUGGUUUUGAGGAUUGCGAGGAAGAGCAUCCAAAGCUAGAUUCUUGUAGUGAUUAUGUUAUGGAUCGGUGUGUGAUGAAGGAUAUGCCGCUCUCUUGGAUCUUUCCUCGGACUUGGGGGAAGAGAAGUUGUGAGGAGGUCCGAAACCAGUGUUGUCAGCAAUUGAGACAAACGACGCCGCGUUGCCGCUGCAAGGCUAUUUGGACAUCAAUCCAAGGUGAUCUAAGUGGCUUCAAGGGCGUUCAACAAGGUUUGAAAGCCAGAACGGUGCAGACGGCGAAGAGCCUUCCCUCCAAGUGCAACAUUGAUCCAAAAUACUGCAACAUCCCCAUCACUAGCGGAUAUUACUGGUGAUGUAGCUUCCAUUAGUGACCAAUAAACUAUCACAUACCACUGUAUGUGACCAAUAAAUGUGACCAUGGAAUAAUAUAUACUAUAGUUUCCCUUAUGUAUGUAUGUGUUUCUCUUACAAACAUCUAAUUAUGCAUGUGUCUAUCAAGAAAAUAAUGUUAAUUGUGCCAAUACAAAAGGAAUGUGUGGAAGUGCAUAUAGGCCUCUGUGUUUUGGUAUAGAUGGCGGAAAAUUAAAUGGGCUAAUUAGGGCGUACUUGUGAACAGAUUUUAGUCUCAACCGUGAAGGUUGUCGAGAAUCGAAGAACCCUCAAAAGUGAAAAUAACACAAGAAUGUGCCUCGGUAGAGGUUAUUUUAUAGGUUUUAUUCACAUUUCAUGAGUUUAGGGAUCCUCCACUAUUUAGAGGGGACGUGGUUGGUGAAGUGCAUGCUCAAGUGAUUUCUUCACUCAUAUAGCCUUCCCAUCCACCAAAGAAACCAAAGCAAAAAAGACUAUAAAUCAUAUUGUUUUCUUCUUGUCAAAGUGCUUCGAAUUUGCUGUCCGGACCGUUCGGAGGUGUGAGCAUGCAUAUGCUGAUCUGAGCACCCGUUAGACCAUUCGGGCACUACUCCGACCAAGUCUAGGGUUGCUUGGUUUGGCACUGAACCAACAUCAGGGAUGUGUCCGGGUCACUUGGUCUCAAUUUGGACCAUCCGGACCUAGGGCCAAUGACCAAGCCGAACCAAGGGCCGAUUCUAUGGCAAGACCGCCCAACGCCUUGUCUCGGUUAGUUCUGGUGUCGCUCGAUCUACUAGCUAGACUAUCCAUGCUGGAACAUGUUACUUUUGACAAUAACUUAUAUUAACAUGUUACUUUUGACAAUAACUUAUAUUAACAUGUUGGAACUCUCAGGCCUACUCAACUUCAUCGACGGGCUAUGGUCGGCAAGCGGCGGUGAGCGGAUCAUCAUCUUCACCACCAACCACAAGGAGAAGCUGGACCCGGCGCUAAUCCGGCGGGGUAGGAUGGACAAGCACAUCGAGAUGUCCUACUGCCGCUUCGAGGGCUUCAAGGUGCUCGCCAAGAACUACCUAGACGUGACCGAGCAUGUGUUGUUCGGCGAGAUCCGGCAGCUGCUCGAAGAGACCGAUAUGUCACCGGCCGACGUGGCAGAGAACCUGAUGCCCAUGUCAAAGAAGAAAAAGAAGGACCCAAACAUGUGCUUGGCAGGCCUCAUCGCGGCGCUCAAACAGGCCAAGAAAGACGCGGUGACGGUUGCGGCAGCGGCAAAGGCGAAGGAGGAAGAGGAGGCAGAAGCAAAGAAAACCAAGGAGAAAGAGGAACCCAAGGAAGACAAAUGAAUUAGCCAACCAAGACAUCAAACAAGUUUGAUUGCUCACUAGUGCUCGCUUACAACAACAAAAAUGAUGUAUAGUGUUUGUUCAAAUAAAUUAUGUAUCACUCAGCUGGAAUAAAAUGGUUUUGCUUUCUCUUCUCAAUGGUUAAUUCACACGGGAAGUUACCUUCAAAAAGUUGCUAUAUCUGAUACUACAAUGCAUAAUUCUAACAUUAUCUGAUACUACUAUUGCAAGUACACAGUGAACAUUUUCCUCAUUUUCUACAAAAGACAGUGAAAAUUCUGGCGUAUAUAACCCGCCUAUAUGAACAAUACGAGAGGUACCGCCGUGAUCAUGAAGGAGAGUGUGAAGACAAGGAGAAAGGCAAAUGGAGGCACAAAACAAAAUAUGUAUCCCUCAACAAAGAAUAAUAAUGAUGAUAAUUCCUGUGUAUGUAUGGAAUAGUACUACAAUACGAAAUGCCAACCUCUCACUCCCCUGUCUCAAACGUACUGGGCAAAGGGAAUCCACAAGUUUUUUCCAUGCGUGCAUGGACUGUAGAUUCUUCUCAGCUCUGACAGCUCCUCCUCACCUGCUCCGACGACGGCAAAGAAGAACACAAAUCUGUUCCGAUGACGACAAAAGGUAAAGUCGAACAUGCUCCGACGACGACGACAAAAACGAAGACGGAGACGAAGACUCAGGUCAACCUAAGUAAAUCACCCACAACUCUCCCGCAUUAUAUAUACACAUAUGCAGGCGCUUCCAGUGCAGAUCGAGCUAUAGCAUUCCAACAAGAAAGCCUCAAGACACAACAUCAAGAGGUCCAGCCAUGGCGCCCAUGGUGGAGUGGUUGCCAUGGUUUGGAUCGGCGGUGGCGAGCGCCAUCUUCUUAUGGUCCAUGGUGCAGAACCACGUCCCGGACACCCUCCGUCUCUACCUCACCACCCGGGCAGCCAAGCUCGCCGCCUGCUUCAACCCUUACCACGAGAUCACCAUCUCCGAGUACGGCGCCAAGCGAUUCCAGCGUAGCGAAUUUUUCCUCGAUGUCGAGGCCUACCUGAGCGAUGCCUGUGCUCACCAUGCACGGAGGCUCAAGGCCGAGCUCGGCAAGGACAGCAAGAACCCCCAAAUCACCGUCGACGACCACGAGGAGGUCACCGACGACUUCUCCGGAACCACACUCUGGUGGUAUGCCUCCAAGCAGCAAUCCAAGGCCAAUGUCAUCAGCAUAUACCCCGGCCGGGAUGAGAAGCGAUUCUACCGGGUUGUAAUUCUUGAGUUGUAAAUCCAUAUAAGUGUGAUGAUUUUCAUUAUUAGAGCAUUGUCCUAGUGAGGAAAGGAGGAUGAAGACUAUGAUUCCCCCACAAGUCGGGAUGAGACUUCGGACUUUAUAAAAAUAAAAGAGGCCAAAAAAGCCCAUCAAAAAGNNNNNNNNNNNNNNNNNNNNNNNNNNNNNNNNNNNNNNNNNNNNNNNNNNNNNNNNNNNNNNNNNNNNNNNNNNNNNNNNNNNNNNNNNNNNNNNNNNNNNNNNNNNNNNNNNNNNNNNNNNNNNNNNNNNNNNNNNNNNCCCAUCAAAAAGAAAAAAAAAAGAAAAAAUGAGAAAAGAGGAAAAAAUUUGAGAAAGGCCAAAAAGAAAAAAAAAGAGGCUAAAGAAAAAAAAGAAAAAGAAAAAAAGGAAAAAAAAUGAGAGAAAAAGAGAGAAGGGACAAUGCUACUAUCUCUUUUUCCACACUUGUGCUUCAAAAUAGCACCAUGAUCUUCAUGAUAGAGAGUCUUAUAUGGUAUCACUUUCAUAUACUAGUGGGAAUUUUUCAUUAUAGAACUUGACUUGUAUAUUUCAAUGAUGGGCUUCCUCAAAGUGCCCUAGAUCUUUGUGAGCAAGCAAGUUGGAUGCACACCCACUUAGUUUCUUUUGUUGAGCUUUCAUAUAUUUUAUAGCUAUAGUGCAUCCGUUGCAUGUCAAUCCCUACUCACUCACAUUGAUAUUUAUUAAUGGACAUCUCCAUACAGCCCGUUAAUAUGCCUAGUUGAUAUGAGAUUAUCUUCUCCCUUUUUGUCCUCACAACCACCAUAAACCAUCAUAGUGUUAUGUCCAUGGCUUGCGCUCAUAUAUUGCGUAAGAGUUGAAAAAGCUGAAGCGCGUUAAAAAGUAUGAACCAAUUGCUCGGCUCGUCAUCGAGGUUGUACAUGAUGGGAGUAUUUUGUGUAAUGAAAAUGAAGCAUGGCCUAACUAUAUGAUUUUAUAGGGAUAAGCUUUCUUUGGCUAUGCUAUUUUGAUAUUACAUGAUUAUUUGUUAGUAUGCUUUGAAGCAUUAUUAUUUUUAUGUUUUAUAAGCUUUUAUUCUAAAUCUAAUGGAUAUAUUUUAGCCGGAAAAAUACUUAAUCCCGUAAAAUGGCAGAGUUUUACGAGCCGUCGAGCUUUUGUACAAUCUGCUAGGGAUGCUCUGAUCCAUCCUUUUUGGUAAAAUUGUAGCUAGCAGAAGAUCACCUAUAUACAUAUGUUUCUUGGUCCACAGUGAGUAGCCAAUAAAUAGAGUGCUGAAAUAAUAAUAUAUGAAAGUGCUGAAAUAAUAAUAUAUGAAAAAGAUUAUCCUAUAUAUGUAUGUUUCUUGGUACAAAUACGCAGCCAAACUCACAAGAGAACGUGCGCGUGUAUCUGAAUACCACAUGUCCACAUGACAAAAGCAAAACCAUAGCUAGAUGACGACAACAUUCAGAUGCAUUAUUUACAAUGUAAAAGAAAAUGCCCAACAACUUGGCUAGGAUCCUUGUUAAGAAUUCAUUUUUUGAUAAUCAUGCUCAAAUUAAAAAAAAACACUGCUUGGCUUGUGCCUCCCGUCGGUGUUAGCCGUCCAUGCCUGGUCCUAUGUGGCCUUAGGGCCAUCGAGACACGGUGGAUCCAGGUCUUCACCAACGUGAGGACUUCGUUUUCUAAUAUCUUUUUAAGUUUUGUUAGUGUUUGUGUUCUACUCAGAAAGACGAGGUGACGAUGGUCCUCUGCAGAUGGAAUAAGUUUCUUUCCUCCUUGUCCCCGUUUCGGCGGCGCUUCUUGCAUUGUUGGAGGGCGUGUGAAGAUUUAUCUCCGGCGAAUCCAGGAUUCGGUUGGCGAUUGUCUACGGUGGAUCCACGUGAAUUCGUUCUUUGUUCGUCAAUGGUCGUGUGUCUACAGGUUGAAUCCUUCUGAUCUACACUUCUUUUCUUCGACAGAGGUUGCUGUUCUGGUGCUCUGGUCUUGUAGGGCCUUAGCACGACAACUUACCGACUAUCUACUACAAUAAGGUUUGUCCGGCUUGGUGAGGGAGGGGAGAUGACGACGGCGUGCCUUCGGCUUGCUUCAGUAGUCGUCCUAGGCGGUGUACGAACCUCGAUGUAAAUUUUAGUUCUAGUGUUAUUUGUACUACCUUAACUUAACAGUUGAUGAAUAGAUUGAAUUUGUUUUAAUUUCUUUUAAAAAAACAGUCAUCCUCUCUCCUAGAAAAACAACAUUCUCCAUUUCUCACAUUUGCGAUGGUUUCUUCUCAGCGGGCCCACGCUGUCAGUGACACACGGCGGCUAGUGGGUGUCACGUAGCUUACGUGGCAGCAUAAAGGGAGGUCCUUGAAGCCACCGAGCUAAAAAAGACAAUUCUUUUCUUCCUCUUCUGUUCCGGCAGGGGCGGCGGGGAUGGCGAUGGCGUCGCGCGCGCGGACGCGGUGGUCGGCGCUGGCGGCGAGCACGCUGAUCCAGUGCUUCGCGGGCGGCAGCUACUGCUUCGGCGUCUACUCGCCGGCGCUCAAGGCGUCGCAGGGCUACGACCAGUCCGCGCUCGACGCCGUCGCCUUCUUCAAGGACGUCGGCGCUAACGUCGGGGUCCUCUCCGGCCUCCUCGCCGCGUGGGCUCCCUCUGGGGGCCGGAGGCGACCCUGGCUCGUCCUCCUCACCGGCGCCGCGCUCUGCGCCGCCGGGUACCUCCCCAUGUGGCUCGCCGUCGCCGGGGUCGUCCCCGCCCCGCUCCCGCUCGUCUGCCUCUACAUGCUGCUCGCCGCGCAGGCGCAGACCUUCAUGAACACGGCCGAUGUCGUCACCGCCGUAGAGAACUUCCCCGACCGCCGCGGCACCGUCAUCGGCAUCAUGAAGGUACGAUCCCCUUACUCUGUUUUCUUGUACAGUAGUAUUCAGUCUCUGCUCUGUUGCUCUGCAUCAGUAAUUUGCUCUGUGAGUUCCAAGAAAACAAUCCAAAAACAGCCUUUGUCUGCUCCAAUCUACAAACCGAAAACAGUAUUUGUUUUGUUCCAUUUUUAUGUGGAGAAAUCUGUUUUGGUGGCAUACUAUACCACACCAGUACAGAGAUAUAUGCUGAAAGUGAUUUUGAUGCAACACAGCCUUACAGGUAAACAGUUCUAGAAUAAUGUGAUUUGUUAAGACUUGUAGUAGUUCAUCAUCCAGCACAACCAUUCUAGGAAUUCAUGCUUGCUCCCAGGGAGGCAGCAUCGCUGGUUAUAGAAAAGUACAAUUGUGUAGCUCAUUAUAAUGUUUUCUGGUCCAGAGACAUCAGAGAGGCAAUAAUGCAGUGUUCAUUCGCUGGUGGAGUAUCAUUUUUGUCUUAAUUGCCCGAACUUUCAGCGUUGUUGUCUUGAGUUUUCGCCUAGCGCUGUAUUCGUGAUGAUGUCAACUUGUGUGGAUCGUACAUAGCACACACUUAAUUUGCUCAAUAAUCCCAGCCUGCACUCUGUUUCUCAAAAACAAAUCAAACUACUUAGUAUUUGUCUUCUUACACAACAAGUAUAGAUAUGUCCUACUCCUUCCAAUGACAUCGAUUCAUCUGUUUAAUUUCCAAACAGGGGUUUCUAGGCUUGAGUGGGGCGAUACUGGUCCAAGUACAGCGGACUCUCCGUAUUGAUCCCGGCAGUUUCAUACUUAUGCUGGCAAUACUACCCACAGCCAUCGCGUUGCUGCUCAUGUACUUUGUCGACGUCCACAGCGCUCAUGAGCGGUACAACAAGAAGUUCCUCGAUGCUUUCUCUCUCAUGGCCGUUACUGUUGCUGGGUUCCUGAUGGUUGUCAUAAUCUGCGACCAAGUAUUCGUGAUAAGUUCAGCCGGGCAGAGCGUUUGCUUUGGGAUACUCCUUCUAUUGAUCCUGUCUCCCGCAGCUAUUGUUGUAAGGGCUCAGAGGACGGAACCGAAGCAGCAAGAAGAACCAACGCCGGAAGAACAAACUGGUUUACUUCUUCAUGAGGAGACUGCGCAGCAGGAUUCGGAGAACGCCAGCUCUAGCAUGGCGCUCGUGGGAUCUAACAGUCAGGACAUGUCGUCGGACAAAGCAGAGAACCUGAACGUGGUGCAGGCCAUGUGCAAACUUGACUUCUGGCUGCUCUUCGUUGCGAUGGCCUGCGGGAUGGGGUCGGGGCUGGCCACCGUGAACAACAUCAGCCAGAUCGGGGGCUCCCUUGGCUACACGAGCAGGGAGACCAGCACUCUGGUGUCGCUAUGGAGCAUCUGGAACUUCUCAGGGAGGUUCGGCGCAGGCUACGUCUCUGAUCACUUCCUCCGGUCGCGAGGAGUCGGCAGGCCUUUCUUCAUAGCCGCGACGCUUCUGGUCAUGGGCGUAGGCCAUGCCAUCAUCUCCUCCGGUUUCCACGCGUCGCUCUACGUCGGCUCCGUCCUUGUAGGACUGUGCUACGGGUCUCAGUGGGCUUUGAUGCCGAGCAUAACUUCAGAGAUCUUCGGGCUAAACCAUUUCGGCACCAUAUUCAACACGGUGGCCGUCGCGAGCCCUGUUGGCUCUUACAUCCUCUCGGUGUGCGUGGUCGGGUUCAUCUAUGACAAGGAGUCACCGCAAGGUGAGCUUGCCUGCGCCGGUAAGCACUGCUUUGCGCUCUCCUUCAUGAUCAUGGCAUGUGUCUGCGUCUUCGGGUCUGCUGUUGCUUUUGUAUUGUUUGUCAGAACAAGGAAGUUUUAUAGGCGGGUUAUAUACGCCCGACUGCUCUCUUUUGUAGAUAAAUGAAGAAAUGCAUAUAUGCAAACGAUUCUCAGUUUCCCUUGUGUUCUUGCAGCAAUAUCACGUUAGCAUUUGGUAUUGUAGCACUCUCUCUAUAUAGUAACAAUACAAUGGUCACUUCCUGUGUGAGUAAGCAAAUGAGAAAAUAAACCAAUAUUAUUUUAUUUCAGUUGAUUGACACAUCUUUAUCAAAAAAAAAAAAGAAGAAGAAGCUGAGUGAUAUAUAUUUGUGUUCUUACAUCAAUACCAUGUUAUCAUUUGGUAUUGUAACAUAAUAUGUAGCAACAUUAUAAUGCCCAUUUCCUGGAGAAGAGAAAGCAAUGUUAUUUAUUUAUUUAAUUAUUUUAUUGCAGUUGAGUGAUAUAUAUUUUAUUUGAACAAACACUGCAUCCUUUUGUGUUUGUAAGGGAACACUCAACUCCUGUAACUUCACUUGUCACCUUGCUUGAUGAGGUCUCCAUUGGCUUCCUCCAAUGCUUUGUCCUUCCCUUCGUCUUUCUUGGCCUCCCCCUCCUUUUUAUCCUUGGCUUUCUUCGCUUCAGCCUCCUUGGCCUCCUCUUCCUCCUUAGCCUUUGCCGCUGCCGCGUCUUCCUUGGCCUGCUUGAGCACCUUGAUGAGGCCUGCCAAGCACACAUCGGGGUCCCUCUUCUUCUUCUUUGACAUGGGCAUCAGGUUCUCCGCCACAUCAGCAGGCGACAUGUCGAUCUCCUCGAGCAGCUGCUGGAUCUCGCCGAACAGCUCGUGCUCGACGACGUCCAUGUAGUUCUUGGCGAGCACCUUGAAUCCCUCGAAACGACAGUAGGACAUCUCGAUGUGCUUGUCCAUCCUGCCCCGCCGGAUCAGUGCAGGGUCCAGCUUCUCCUUGUGAUUGGUCGUGAAGAUGAUAAUCUGCUCACCUCCGCAGGCCGACCACAGCCCGUCGAUGAAGUUGAGCAGGCCAGAGAGCGUCACUUUGGUGUCAUCGUCCUUCUCUGGCUCCAUUGGUAGCUUGGGUCUGUCAUCGUCAUCAGAGUCCUUAUCGCCAGAAGCCUUCUUGUCCUUGUGGCCUUUUCCAGCGAGGUCUGCGGAGCAGUCAAUGUCUUCUAUGACGAUGAUGGAUUUGCCUGUUGUCUCGAUGAAGAGCUUCCGCAGCUCGGUGUUGUUCUUGACGGCCGUGAGUUCGAGGUCGUAGACGUCGUAGUCGAGGAAAUUGGCCAUGGCGGCAAUCAUAGUGGACUUGCCCGUGCCAGGAGGACCGUAUAGGAGGUAUCCACGCUUCCAUGCCUUGCCGACUUUUGCAUAAUACUCCUUGCCCUCCUAGAAGGCCAUGAGGUCGUUGAUGAUGGCCUCCUUCUGAUCGGGGUCCAUGGCAAGCGUGUCGAACGUCGCUGGGUGCUCGAAUGCGAUGUGGCUCCAAACGCUCUUGGCCCGGUGAGGGUUCCAGCUACCGCCGGCGUUGUUGGUGAAGAGGCGGCGUUGGCGGUUGUUGAUGGUGACGGCACGGCCCUUGCUGAGGACAAAUGGUAGGUAGGAGCCAACAACGAGUUCACGGUGUCAGCCUAUGAAAGACGACCCGGUAGAAUCGCUUCUCAUCCCGGCCUGGGUAUAUGCUGAUGACGUUAGCCUUGGAUUGCUGCUUGGAGGCAUACCACCAGAGUGUGGUUCCGGAGAAGUCGUCGGUGACCUCCUCGUGGUCGUCGACGGUGAUUUGGGGGUUCUUGCUGUCCUUGCCGAGCUCGGCCUUGAGCCUCCGUGCAUGGUGAGCACAGGCAUCGCUCAGGUAGGCCUCGACAGCGAGGAAAAAUUCGCUACGCUGGAAUCGCUUGGCGCCGUACUCGGAGAUGGUGAUCUCGUGGUAAGGGUUGAAGCAGGCGGUGAGCUUGGCUGCCCGGGUGGUGAGGUAGAGACGGAGGGUGUCCGGGACGUGGUUCUGCACCAUGGACCAUAAGAAGAUGGCGCUCGCCACCGCCGAUCCAAACCAUGGCAACCACUCCACCAUGGGCGCCAUGGCUGGACCUCUUGAUGUUGUGUCUUGAGGCUUUCUUGUUGGAAUGCUAUAGCUCGAUCUGCACUGGAAGCGCCUGCAUAUGUGUAUAUAUAAUGCGGGAGAGUUGUGGGUGAUUUACUUAGGUUGACCUGAGUCUUCGUCUCCGUCUUCGUUUUUGUCGUCGUCGUCGGAGCAUGUUCGACUUUACCUUUUGUCGUCAUCGGAACAGAUUUGUGUUCUUCUUUGCCGUCGUCGGAGCAGGUGAGGAGGAGCUGUCAGAGCUGAGAAGAAUCUACAGUCCAUGCACGCAUGGAAAAAACUUGUGGAUUCCCUUUGCCCAGUACGUUUGAGACAGGGGAGUGAGAGGUUGGCAUUUCGUAUUGUAGUACUAUUCCAUACAUACACAGGAAUUAUCAUCAUUAUUAUUCUUUGUUGAGGGAUACAUAUUUUGUUUUGUGCCUCCAUUUGCCUUUCUCUUUGGCUUCACACUCUCCUUCAUGAUCAUGUUAGAAUAUACGCCAGAAUGCUGUCUUUGUACCGCUCGUAUUAUUCGUUGGGACGAGCAAGUUCUGUAGGCAGGUUAUAUACGCCAGAAUGCUGUCUUUUGUAGAGAAAUGAGGAAAAUGUUCGCUGUGUACUUGCAACAGUAUCAUAUUAGAAUUAUGCAUUGUGGUGUCAGAUAUAGCAACUUUUUGAAGGUAACUUCCCGUGUGAAUUAACCAUUGAGAAGAGAAAGCAAAACCAUUUUAUUCCAGCUGAGUGAUACAUAAUUUAUUUGAACAAACACUAUACAUCCUUUUUGUUGUUGUAAUCGAGCACUAGUGAACAAGCAAACUUGUUUGAUGUCUUGGUUGGCUACCUGGCUUCCUGUCAUGUUUUUUACCUUUCAUUUGUCUUCCUUGGGUUCCUCUUUCUCCUUGGAUUUCUUUGCUUCUGCCUCCUCUUCCUCCUUGGCCUUUGCCGCUGCCGCAGCCGUGGCAGCAUCUUUCUUCGCCUGUUUGAGCGCGGCGAUAAGGCUUGCCAAGCUCAUGUUGGGGUCCUUCUUUUUCUUCUUUGACAUGGGCAUCAGGUUCUCUGCCACAUCGGCCGGUGACAUGUCGGUCUCUUCGAGAAGCUGCUGGAUCUCGCCGAACAACACAUGCUCGACGAUGUCUAGGUAGUUCUUGGCGAGAACCUUGAAGCCCUCGAAGCGGCAGUAGGACAUCUCGAUGUGCUUGUCCAUCCUACCCCGCCGGAUUAGCGCCGGGUCCAGCUUCUCCUUGUGGUUGGUGGUGAAGAUGAUGAUCUGCUCACCGCCGCUUGCUGACCAUAGCCCGUCGAUGAAGUUGAGUAGGCCUGAGAGCGUCACCUUGCUUUCAUCGUCCUUCUGUGGCUCCGUCGGGUCCGCUUCAUAUUCAUUGUCAGAGUCCUUGUUACUUGAGGCCUUCUUGCCCUUGCGGCGCUUACCAGUGAGGUCAAUGGAGCAAUCGAUGUCCUCGAUGACGAUGAUGGACUUGCUUGUCAUCUCGAUGAAGAGCUUUCUCAACUCGGUUUUGUUCUUGACCGACGUAAGCUCGAGUCAUAUACGUCGUAAUCAAGGAAAUUGGCCAUGGCGGCGAUCAUGGUGGACUUACCAGUGCCGGGUGGGCCGUACAAUAGGUACCCCGCUUCCAUGCCUUGCCGACCUUUGUGUAGUACUCCUUGCCCUCCUUGAAUGCGAUGAGGUCGUCGAUGAUGGCCUCCUUCUGGUUGGUAUCCAUGGCGAGCGUGUCGAACGUGGCCGGGUGCAUAAACUUAACAUAGUCCCAGACGCUAUUGCGAAGGUAGCGCUUCCGUUUACCGCCACAGUUGGUGACGAAAGCAUAUAAUAGAACACCUGCACUCAGGUCCUCCCUAUCUAGCCAUCCAUUCUGCGCAUCGUGAUUCAUGUAAACAUAUUUCUUUUUUUUGUUUCUCUCACAUAAAACAUGUUUUGAAGUUCAAACGUUUGUAGCAUGGCAAAGUUUUCUAUCUAGAAUCUAGGAUAAAUCUUUCAGAUUUUUUUAUCAAAUAUAAAUAUACAAAUUAUGAUUUUCUAGAUAAAAAAAUCAUAUUUUGUAUAUUUAUGUUUGACAAAAAAUUCUGAAAGAUUUAUCCUAGAUUCUAAAAAGAAAGUUUUGCCACGCUGCAAAGGUUUGAGUUCAAGACAUGUUCUACGUGAGAGAAACAAAAAAGAGAAAAUUUCAUAUAGAAAGUUAGUUGUGUUGCACGGAUCUUAAAGCAAUAUUGGACAGCCAGGAUAGCUGGGCCCGGGUGCAGAUGUUCAAAAAAAUCCACGUCCCAGUUUGUGAAGAGGCGGCGCUGGCGGUUCUUGACGAUGACGUUUAUGCCGUGCUAGUGAUGGGCAUGUUUAUGCCAAAUUCGUUGGUUCUUACUAUGAGUACAUUGAAUGGUCUAUUUGGGUUCCUAAGACCCUUGUUGCUAACGUCAAAUGACCCAUUCAAAAAUGGGUACCUAAAUCCAAGCAUUGAUCUCUUGUAGGAGUUUUUUUUUCCGGUGGAGUGUCAUUGUUGCUUGAUAGUGGAGUAACAAAUCAUAUGACCGGGAGUAAGGACUUGGUGGUGAAUGUGCACCAAUUCCAUCUAUGCCCACCCAUCUUUAAUUUGCUGAUGCCUCAACUUCUAAAGUAUUGGGACUUGGCAAGGUAGUCAUCUCUCAAGAUUUAACUAUUGGGAAGCUCAUACUUGUUGAGUCUCUUGCAUACAAUUUACUUUCCAUUCGUCAACUUGCAAUUAUGGGCUUUGCAACAUUCUUUGAUCUUGACACCGUGGCCCUUUUGUGGAGCAAUAUUCUUAAAGUAGCCUUUGUUGGGCAUGUCGAGAACGGUCUCUAUGUGGUGAACUUUUCGGAACGACCCACUACCACUAAGACCGCGACUUGCCUAAUGGCUAAAGUUGAUGUGGGUUGGCUUUGGCAUCACCGACUAGCCCAUGUCAAUAUGAGAUCUUUGUAAAGUCUUCUCAAAGGUGAUCACGUGCGUGGACUAACAAAUGUGAGUUUUGCCAAAGACCGUGCUUGAAGUGCUUGUAUCGAAGGAAAGCUUCAUAAAACGGCUCCAGCGGACCCGAGGAAGAUGAUGCUCGCCGCCCAACCCCGCCCACCUCUCCACCAUCGCUGCCAUGGCCGGCAAGCUCUCUUCUUCUUGAUGCCACUUGUUCGUGUGUGUAUAUAAUGCUGGUGAUUUACUUAAGUUGACUUGAGCGCGACCGGUGGUCGUUGUUGCCGUCGGAGCAGGUGAAGAGUAGCUAUCAGGGCUGGGUAAGUUCAUGCAACGCAUGGAAAAGAUGCAGAACUUAGUUGCUUAAUCAAUUAAUUACUAGGUGGAAAGGCAAAUUCAAAUUUGGGUUGCUUAAUCAAUUAACUGGAAGGAGCAGGGUAAGUUCCGAUUGCUAGUUGCAUGCUGUGUCACUGUCAUGCGUAGUGACGAUAUUGUGUUGGUGAAAUGGUAGAGAAGCUUCUUAUGCCAUGUUUAGGUUUAAUUCCCGAUAGAAAAAGUCGUUAGCAUUUUGGUGUAGGUAAAGCGGAUGGGUCUUGUUAGCAUUUUGUAUAGUUUUACCGAAAAUAAUACUAUAUAUAUAUAUAUAUAUAUAUAUAUAUAUAUAUAUAUAUAUAUAUAGUAUUAAUAUUCAUCAUCCAGGAUGCACAAUAAUUUAUUCUUCACCCGAGGUAAUCUUAUGAUCGCUUUCUAAAUAAAUUAUGUUUAGAAUAUAAAUAGUUGCAUGCAUAUUGGUUUAAUAUAUAAACUUUGGUAUAAAAAACAAAAGUAUAGGUUAUAAGACCAGAAAAAUCACAUUUUAUGUACGUUUUACACUAUGUUUUUACAUUCGUUAUUUUACGUAACAUAAAAUAUUUUUUGAGGCGAGUAUAUAUUUUCUUACUUUUUUUAUGUAUGAAAUAAGGCAAAAUUUACGAAAUGUAAAAAUACGAUGCAUUGAAGUCAGAAUAGAAAAUGGGUGAAGAAUAACUAUUUCUCACCCAGGGGAACGAAUAGCGCUUAUAUAUAUAAGGGGGCAGAUAUUACAAAUGAGAGAUACAACACAUAAUAUUUCGGUUGAGAGUUUAUAUUUUCUGUGACCAAACACUGCAUUUUCUUUUUGUACUAGUGAACAAGCUCAUUCUUUUUUCCUUUGCUUCCUUUCUUGGUAUCACUUCACUUGUCACCUUCUUUGAUGUCUCCAUUGGCUUUCUCCGGUGCUUUGUCCUUCCCUUUGUUUUCCUCCUUUGCUUUCUUCACCUCCGUCUCCUCUUUCUCCUUAACUUUCUUUGCUUCAGCCUCCUUGGCCUCUUCUUCCGCCUUCGCCUUGGCCGCCGCUGCUGCCGCGCCUUCCUUGGCCUGCUUGAGCGCCUCGACGAGGCCUGAGAAACACAAAUCAGGGUCCCUCUUUUUCUUCUUCGACAUUGGCAUCAGAUUCUCUGCAACAUCGGCGGGCGACAUGUCGGUCUCCUCGAGUAGCCGCUGAAUUUCCCCAAACAGGUCAUGCUCAAUGACAUCUAGGUAGUUCUUGGCUAGAACCUUGAAGCCCUCGAAGCGGCAGUAUGACAUCUCGAUAUGCUUGUCCAUCCUUCCUCGACGGAUCAGCGCCGGAUCGAGCUUCUCCUUGUGGUUGGUGGUGAAGAUGAUGAUCCGCUCACCCCCGCAAGCAGACCAUAGCCCGUCGAUGAAGUUGAGGAGGCCCGAGAGCGUCACCUUGGUGGCGUCGUCCUUCUCUGGAUCCAUCGGUAGCUUGGGUUUGUCAUCACUGUCGGAGUCCUUGUCUCCAGAGGCCUUCUUGUCCUUGCGGCGUUUUCCGGUGAGGUCAAUCGAGCAGUCGAUGUCCUCUAUGACGAUGAUGGACUUGCCCGUGGUCUCGAUGAAGAGCUUCCGCAGCUCGGUGUUGUUCUUGACAGCAGUGAGCUCGAGAUCGUAGACAUCGUAGUCAAGGAAGUUGGCCAUGGCGGCGAUCAUGGUGGACUUGCCGGUGCCGGGCGGUCCAUAAAGGAGGUACCCGCGCUUCCACGCCUUGCCGACCUUUGCAUAGUAGUCCUUGCUCUCCUGGAAUGCCAUGAGGUCGUCAACGAUGGCCUCCUUCUCAUCGGGGUGCAUGGCGAGCGUGUCGAAGGUGGCGGGGUGCUCGAAGGGGACGUGGCUCCAGACGCUCUUGCUGCGGUAGGGGUUCCAGUUGCGGCUGGCGUUGUUGGUGAAGAGACGGCGCUGGCGGUUCUUGACGGUGACGGCGCGACCCUCGCCGAGCACGAAGGGCAGGUAGGAGUCGACGACAAGGUCGCGGUGGCGCCUGUGGAAGAUGACCUUGUAGAAGCGCCGCUCGUCCUCGCCGGGGUAGAAGCUGAUGACUUGGGCCUUGGACUGCCGCUUGGAGGCGUACCACCAGAUGGUCGUGCCGGAGAAGUCGUCGGUGACCUCGUCGUGGUCGUCGACGGUGACCUGGAGGUUCUUGCUGUCCUUGCCGAGCUCGGCCUUGAGCUUCCGUGCGCGCCGGGCGCAUGCCUCGCUGAGGUAGGCCUCAACGGCGAGGAAGAAGUCGCUACGCUGGAAGCGCUCGGCGCCAUACUCGGAGAUGGUGAUUUGGAGGUAGGGGUUGAAGCAGGCGGCGACCUUUGCGGCCCAGGCGGUGAGGUAGAGGCGGAAGGUGGGAGGUACGUAGUUCUGCACCACGGACCAGAGAAAGAUGACGGUCGCCAUAGCCGACCCGAACCCCGCCCACCUCUCUACCAUGAUUGCCGCCAUUGCUGCAACUGGACGUCCUCUUGGUGUUGUCCCGAUGGAAAGCUGUAGCUCGACCUGCACACAUAUAUAUAAUGCCAAUGAUUCGUGUGGUGAACCGGUUAUCUGCUUAGGUUGAAGCUGAGCAGCGUGUAGUCGUUGUCGUUGUCGUCAUCGUCGUCGCCGUCUGCGUGGGAGCAGGUGAGGAGGAGCUGUCGGAGGCGAGAAGAAGCGGCGAGCGAGCGUAGAUGGAACAGUCCAAGGAAACGGAGUUACUUAACUCUCAAGGCAGUCUCUACUUUGUGGCCAAAUGCCAAGAUGCUCCGAUUGUUGAUGGCAACUCCGUCGCUAUUUUUAGCUCAUGGAUUGCAUCUCUGAGACUGACAGCCGAGUAUAGAACACAGACGAGGCAGGCCGGUGACACGGCCAGUGGUCGGCAAAUCGAAGCAUGGGUGACGACAUGGUUUUGCUGACUGCUGAGGAUGCAUGAGUCCAUGUACUCCGUCACUUCCAAAAUAAGUAACUUUACUUUGUAUUAACUUCAGUACAAAGUUAAUAUAAACUUAAGUCAAUUAUUUUGUGAUGGAGGGAGGAGUAAUAUUUAUUGCAAUAGUUAUAUGUAAGUUAACUGAAUUUGCAUUGGGGACUUGGAGUGGUUCAUUUUUGCGGGAAAGGAAGGAGGAGGCAAGGCGCAGCACCAAGACCGAGACGUCAUCUUUGCUAGACAGCAUGCAAACUCCUGACAUAAUCCUUUCGUCUAUAUAUUUUCAUAUGUCCCCAAACCAAACAGGGGCAUCUAUAAAAACACUUUUUCGCUGCCGCAACAUUUUGUACCCGUGAGAUCCCAUUUACGGGCUUUUUUCGGCGUCCUGCUGGAGGGGGAUUCGAUCACGGAGGGCUUCUACAUCAACACCAUUGCCCUUCCGAUGAAACGUGAGUAGUUUACCACAGACCUACGGGUCCAUAGCUAGUAGCUAGAUUGCUUCUUCUCUCUCUUUAAUUCUCAAUACCAUGUUCACCUCGAUGCUCUUGGAGAUCUAGUCGAUGUAAUCCUUUUUUGUGAUGUGUUUGCCGAGAUCCGAUGAACUGUGGAUUCAUGAUCAGCUUAUCUACGAAUAUUAUUUGAAUCUUCUCUGAAUUCCUAUAUGCAUGAUUUGAUAUCUUUGUAAUUCUCUUCGAACUAUCGGUUUGGUUUAGCCAAUUAGAUUGGUUUUUCUUGCAAUGGGAGAAGUGCUUAGCUUUGGGUUCAAUCUUACGGUGUCCUUUCCCAGUGACAGUAGGGGCAGCAAGGCACGUAUUGUAUUGUUGCCAUCGAGGAUAAAAAGAUGAGGUUUUCAUCAUAUUGCUUGGGUUAAUUUCUCUACAUCAUGGCAUCUUAAUUAAUGCAUUACUCCAUUCUUUAUGAACUUAAUACUCUAGAUGCAUGUUGGAUAGCGGUCGAUGUGUGAAGUAAUAGUAGUAGAUGCAGAAUCGUUUCGGUCUACUUGACACAGACGUGAUGCCUAUAUUCAUGAUCAUUGCCUCAGAUAUCGUCAUAACUAUCGCUUUUCUAUCAAUUGUUCAGCAGUAAUUUGUUCACCUACCGUAUUAUUUUUUAUUUUGAGAGAAGCCUCUAGUGAAACCUAUGGACCUCGGGUCUAUUUUCCAUCAUACAAGUGUCUGAUCUACAAUUUUAGUUUCCGAUCUACUAUUCUUGCAAUCUUUUACUUUCCGUUCUAUAAACCAAAAAUACCAAAAAUAUUUACUUUAUCGUUUAUCUAUCUCUAUCAGAUCUCACUUUUGCAAGUAACCGUGAAGGGAUUAACAACCCCUUUAUCGCGUUGGGUGCAAGUUUGUUUGAUUAUUUGUGCAUGUAUUCGGUGAUUUGUGUGUUGUCUCCUACUGAAUUGAUACAUUGGUUCUCAAACUAAGGGAAAUACUUAUCUCUACUUUGCUGCACCACCCUUUCCUUUUCAAGAGAAAAACCAACACAAGCUCAAGAAGUAGCAGUCAACAAUUUCUGGGUAAGUCCUUUCAAACACUUGAAUGUCAAUACCAAAAGGUUUAAAUUUGCCAUAGUCAUGAUUUUACCCUUCUCACAUGUAUGCAUGUUUAUAGGAUUUCUAUACAUGCGUAGAGGGUCAGAAGGAUCGUGCAAAUGUGGUGGUUGAGAAUAUUGCCAAGAAACUAGUCCAUGACAUGCACUAUGAGGAGCGCGUCCGGUUAGUGGUCAAGUAUCACACGGACUAUCUCAACCAGAAGAUUUCUAAAAAGGACGCUCGAGGGAAGCAUCUUUCACGGGAAAAUUACUUCAAGGCAUGUGAAGAUGGAUCUUGCUAUUCCCUACAUUACCGCAAAUUAUAUUCCUUGCUAAUAUGUAUUUGUUUACUUUACAAGUGAUUCCUCGGUGGUGCGCUAACAAAUGUUCGUGCUGGGAGAAGAUUGUCGAACAAUGGACAGAUCCAGGGUGGCAGAAUGAACACAAGGCAACAGGGUGAUGCGGAGCAUCCCACGAUCAUCCCCAUGGACGUACCUACAUCUCCCACGACACCACUUAGACAAUGACAAGAGCUCGAGCAAAGGCUAUCGAUAAUAAGGUGAACUCGCUCCUCUCCAAACUACCCUUUUCUACACAUGAGACAUGGCUACUACCUCAAGCGGAAACACUAUGUGUGAUUGGGUACUUAGAAGAAGGCAACGGAACAGCUACGCCCAAUGGCCAAGACGGCGAGGACAUCGAGCAUGAAGGACAAGAAGAAGAGCGACCGAAGAAGCUCCAGCCCGCAGAUGUCCGCCAGGGACCGGACAUUCGGCUCCUAAUGCUCCAGUGAGCGGACGUCCGACAAGGACCGGACGUCCGGCCCCUGAAGGCAUAGCUGACUACACUGCCCAGCGAGCGGACGACGGACCUGCACCGGACGACCGGCGAGUCAGCACCCGAGCCGAAUGUACAGAAGAUCGGAUCUAGCGGACGGCCGACGACUGGAAGACUGGAAACCACCGGAUGUCCGGCACCCCUGCACCCGAUCCAAAUCAGCGGAAGUCCGAGCCCUACCAGACGUCCGGACGUCCGCGAGCGACCGGACGACCAGUAGAGACCGGACGUCCGCUACCUGAAUGCGCAGUCUCGGCCCCAAAGGCCAUGUACCCCUUCAUUUCGUCCACAUUUUGCACUUAUACUAUAAAUAGACAUCCUCCUCCUCCUAGUCAACGUUAGCAUUGUGAUAGCUCAUACUUUGAGAUAGAGUUUUGCUCAUCCAUCCGGAUCUACUCCACCGCGAGGGACCGAUCCCUCUUCGGAGAAGAUCCACUUGGAUUCAAGACAUCCUCACGAAGAAGAACCGGUUACCCUAUGUGUCGUCCCUUGUUGGAUUCGAAUCUUGUACCCUUUUGUGUUUCGAGGAUCUAGCACAGGUGUGACUAUCUUCUUGUUGGUUGAGUGUUUUCUCUUGUGUUUCCCUCGUGUUCCCCUCGUUUCCCCUCUCGUGUUCUUCGUGUUCUUGGUAGGAUUCUCUCCAAAUGUGAAAGAUCGGGUGUCUAGGGUUCUACCCUACAUCAUCUUGGUAUCAUGAGCCACGUUGAUCACUUUUUUCGAGCCCCUACCCUUUGUUUUCUAGCUUGAUGUUGUUGUUUUUUGUCCUAAUCCAAAAAUCCACACCAAAAAAAGCCCCAAAUUAUUUUGUGAUUUGUUGGUGUGAUGAAGUUUUGUUGGAUUUGAUCCAUGCAUUUUCUUUGACACGUGUGGAUCUAGCUUUCCCCCAUCUUCUCCACCAUUUCCAUCCACAAAAUCGCUCGGAUUUGACGUCUCCACCUCCCUCCUCCACGACCCCGUGUGUUCAUCCCGUGCCCGAUUCCACCCAGGCACCGGACGACCGCUAACCACCGGACGUCCGACGACCGGACGACCGCUCUCCACCGGACGUCCGCUGAACCCUGACGAAACUGAAAAAGUUCAGUUCGGCCACCACCAACUCUCCACCUUCCACCAUCGAUCACCGCUACCACAUACGACGAUUUUGAACCGUUUUGGUCUUUGAGAAUUUGAGUUGUGGUUCUCGUGUCCUAUUGUAUUUCGGGUAUAUAGGUACGGUUCGACAUCUACAUCACCACCGCUCAUCUUCGUCAAGGACUCGACAUCGCCAACUAUCGUCCAUGCCUACAAACGACUACCGCGGCGGUAACCUCGACGCCAUCUUUGUCUUUCCAUGCCAUUUGCUGACAUAGGCUUACUUUUGUGUUGCUUACCCAUCGAGACUAGCCUUUGAGUAUUGCCGGCAACGUGACUUGUGCACAUUAGUGAUCAUAUUCCACAUAGCAUACAUACCAUAUCAUAGUGGUGCAUAUCUUGGCAUCAUCUUUUGUGUCACAAAGUUGUCAUCGCAUACACAAUUGCUACCUUGGUUCAUGAAGUUUUGCAUGAGAAACAAGCUCAAAAUUCAAAGAGCCAAAUAAUCUUUUAAGCAAAAAGGGAAAGAUAAGCAAAGAGCUUAUAAGCAAGAACUAUAGCAUUAUACUACAUUAAGAUUGUCAUAUCCGAUCAUCUUGGAUCAUAGCAUCGGAAUACCAUACAUAUAGCAUACUUGGGAUAGAAGUCGUUGCAUUUUUGCCUAGUAGUUUGUACACAAGUUCCGUAUCCGCCUAUUGUGCAAUCGUGCUAGCGUCUCUCUAGUGUUGUGCAACAUGAGCAUUUUCAUGGAUUCCACAUUUUGGCUCAUACCUUGGUUGCACGACCCCACUUAUCUAUCUGCGUGUGUGUUUCCUUGUACCAUAUCUUGCUAUUGGUCUACUUGUUGCAUUUGCAAAUUUGUGCAUCUUUUCCAACAUUAUUGAAGCUCACUAACAAUUGCAUCAAAUUUUGUGCCACCAUCCUAACCAAGCUCCACCAUAAGCUUUUACGUGUGUAGGCGUGAGAACCGACAAGAAUUAGUACCAAUUGUGCUAUUUCCUUGUCCACAUUUCAGUGAUCAUUGAUCCAUCUUCAACAUCUGUCAAGGUGCAUUUGGUAUAAGUUCUUCUCUUUCUCCCACUCACAUAUUUUCUUGGAAUGAUGGAUAGGCCAAGUUCUUCUACCAACCCACUCUUCAUCGAGCAAGACGACGACAUGUCAUCCUACGUCACCAAGAGCCACCUCUUCGGUGCACAAAGAGAUUUGCAUCAAGAGCAACAAGCAAUGAGUGACCGCAUCGCCAAUCUUGCCACCGACUUGCGACUCUCCAAGAAACGAACAAGAGACUACUUCGACAACAAGCUGGACGCUCACAAACAAGAGAGAAUGGACGAGAUUCGUGCCUCGUUGGUGAACCGCCAUUCUACCACUUCGUCCUACUGAAGACGGAUCCACUCGAGUCGACACUGCGAUGAAAUCCUCUCCGACUCAAGUACACCGUCAUCGAACACUCUACGCUGAGCCGCAUGUCAAGACCAUCAAGCAACUCGCAAUCCUCCACACGGCAAUCAUCCACAAGAUCAAGUCGGCGAGCAAGCACAUUGUCAUCGUCAACACCAAGUUCCUCUUGCACAAGCUCAAGAACGACAAUGUCAAUGUCACCAAGAGGAAGAGCGAGCGCGACAACAUCAAGACGAACAAGACAUCGAGGCUCAACGUCUUCAAACACAACAUCGUGAAGCACAAGCUCUUGAGGCAUGUGCCCUUCAAGAAUCAAGUCGAGCCAUUGCCAACCACAACCGAGAUAGGUGCAAUCAAGAGGAAGCACUUCGCGAAGAAAUCCAAGAGCGGCACUACAAACCAAGAGUGCAUCGUCAAGCUCGACAAGCUCCUCCUCAAGUUCGUCAAGUUCCUCCUCAACCGCGCCAAGAACCUCAAGUUCAACAAGAACAUGAUGACUACGAACAUCCUCCACGCCAAGAGCAACAUGAGGUCGACAAUCCUCCACGUCAAGGGCGUCAUCCUCGACCCCAACACAAUGAAGAGCAACGCUAUGGCAAGCUCAACUUUACCAUGCCCAAGUUCACCGGAAGCAAUGAUCCCGAAGAGUACCUUUCAUGGGCAUUGAAGGUCGACAAAAUCUUUUGCUUGCACAACUAUGAGGAAGAGAAGAAGAUCACUAUGGCAUCACUUGAGUUCCAAGACUAUGUGCUCAUAUGGUGGGAACAAGUCCUUGAGCGCCGAGAAGCCAGAGGUGAACCACCAAUCACCACUUGGGCUCAAAUGAAAGAUGUCAUGCGAGCACGCUUUGUGCCCACCUACUACAAUAGCGAUCUCUUCAAGAAGCUCCAACUCCUCAAGCAAGGAACAAAGAGUGUUGAAGAAUACUACAAGGAAAUGGAGAUAGCCAUCAUAAGAGCCAAUGUCAUGGAAGAUGAUGAGCAAACUAUGGUCCGUUUCUUGAAUGGCCUCAAUCAUCCCAUCAAGAAGAUCGCCGAUUUCCAACCCUACUCUAACCUCAUUGAGCUCGUGCAUCAAGCUACCAAAGCGGAACGUCAUGUGCAAGAUGACUUCAAGUACGCCAAGUACUCGUCCAAGAGCUACGGUUCUCCAACACCCAAGCUUCAACGACUCCAACACGUUCUAUCUCAACCAAGCCAUCUACAAGCAACGACGACAAGUAGAGUUACAAGAAAACUUUGACAACCUCAAGUCGCCCUCCUACUACAAGUAACUUCAAGCCGCACGCUUCAUCAUCUACUCCAACCGAUGAGACCGUCAAGACAAGUUCUAUCAAGUGUUUCACUUGCAGCGUCCGAGGCCACAAGUCUUUUGAGUGUACCAACAAGCGCACCAUGAUCCUCAACGACGACGGAACCUAUGACUCCAUGAGUGAAGAGGAAUUGGAAGCCCAUUGAGCAAGUGGCCAUGCACCGGCGCGUGAACAAAGAUGAAGAUGAUCAAGUCUUUUGUGAUGAGGAUUCGAGCCCCGCUCUCGUUGUCUCCAAAGUCCUGACUCUUUAACAAUAACAAGAUGAAGACCAAAGAUGCCACAUCUUCCACACAAAGGCCGGCAUCAAUGGAAGGUCCGUCAAGGUCAUCAUCGAUGGAGGUAGUUGUCACAACUUGGCAAGUGAAGAACUAUGCUCCAAGCUCCAAUUGGUCAAGAUGAAGCACCCGCACCCCUACAAGGUCCGAUGGCUAAGUGAUUCUGGCACUAUACAAGUUGAGCAUACGGUCAAAGUCUCCUUAAAAAUUGGAGCACAUGAAGACAAUUUGGAGUGUGAUGUCGUCCCGAUGUCCGUUUGCCACCUCCUUCUUGGUCGACCAUGGCAAUUUGACCGUGGCGUCAUCCACAACGGGCGUACCAAUCACUAUAGCUUCAAGAUGAAAGGAAAGGAAUAUGUGCUACGACCUAUGUCUCCAAGUCAAGUGAUCGCCGACAAGAAAGCCACCCAUCAUGGAGAAAAGAGUGAGAGAGUGAUCCACCCAAAAGAGAGUGAGCAUCACAAGCCAAAAUCAAGUGCCUCCACGAGGAGCGAUAAGAAAAACUUAGUCCUAUUUUCCACCAAAAGUGAGAUGAGAGAAGUGUGUGAGAACCCAUCACAUGUUAUGCACUAUGUCCUUGUGUGCAAGGACGAGGCACCAAAAACUAACACCUCUCACGAUCUACCUUUAGUGUUGUCUUCUCUUUUGCAGGAAUUCCAAGAUGUUUUCCCCGAUGAGCUACCUCGGGGUCUACCCCCACUAUGAGGCAUUGAGCACCGAAUCGACCUCAUCCCCGGAGCACCUCUUCUUAACAAGGCUCCCUACCGUGUCAACCCAACUAAGGAGAUCCAACGGCAAGUCCAACAACUCAUCGACAAUGCUCAAGUACGUGAAAGAUUGAGCCCUUGUGCCGUUCCGGUCAUACUUGUUCCAAAGAAAGACGGUACUUAUCGCAUGGUUUUCGAUUGCCGUCCCAUCAAUGCUAUCACCGUUAGAUAUCGUUAAACUAUUCCACACUUAGAUGAUAUGCUUGAUGAGCUUAGCAGAGCCACCAUUUCUCUAAGAUUGAUCUUAAGAGUUGCUACUAUCAAAUACGCAUCCAAGAAGGUGAUGAAUGGAAAACCACAUUUAAGACCAAAUUUGGCUUAUAUGAAUGGCUAGUUAUGCCAAUGGGUCUAUCUGAAGCACCAGGUACUUUCAUGUGAGUCAUGCACUUUGUUCUUCGUCCCUAUAUUGGUGUAUUUGUUGUGGUCUAUUUUGAUGAUAUUCUUGUCUUUAGCAAAUCUCUCAAAGAUCAUGUCACCCAUCUUAGAACCGUGUUGCAAACCCUUAGGAAAGAGCGCCUUUAUGCUAAUGUGGAAAAAUGCCUUUUUGGUGUUGAUAAGCUUGUUUUAUUGGGUUUUGUUGUGUCUUCUAAGGGUGUUCAUGUAGAUGAAUCUAAUAUCAAUGCUAUUAAAAUUUGGCCCCAACCAACCAACUUGCAACAAGUGCGUAGUUUUCUUGGUUUAACCGGUUUCUAUCGUCGCUUUGUGAAGGAUUUUAGCACCAUUGCUUCUCCUUUACAUUCUUUGAGUAAGAAAAUACACCAUUUGUUUGGGUACCAUCCCAAGAUACCGCAUUUAAUGAGCUUAAGAAUUUGCUUACACAUGCUCCCGUGCUUGCUUUACCCAACUUUGACAAACCUUUUGAAAUUCAUUGCGAUGCUAGCGGUCAUGGCAUAUAUAGGAGGUGUGUUAACGCAAGAGAAGCGCCCCAUAGCAUAUUUUAGUGAAGAACUUUCUGGAGCGCAACUCAAUUACCCCAUCUAUGAUAAAGAGCUACAUGCUUUAGUGCGAGUUUUGCGUGAAUGGGAACAUUAUCUUUGCCCUCAUGAAUUUAUCAUUCAUAUCGAUCAUGAAAUGCUUAAGUACUUAAAAGGACAAACUAAGUUGAAUAAGCGUCACGCUAAAUGGAGUGGAAUACAUCGAGCCUUUUCCUUAUGUCAUUAAGUACAUCAAAGGUAAGGAAAACGUAGUGGCGGAUGCCCUUUCCCACAUAUGCACGCUCGUCACAAAACUUGAGUUGAAUGUCAUUGGUUUUGAGAACAUAAAAGACUUGUAUGCGGAUGAUCCUACUUUUGCUAUUGCUUACUGCUACCUAUUGAGCAUUGCGUUGGAUUUCCCCGAAGAGGAGAGGAUGAUGCAGUAAAGUAGCAUAAGUAUUUCCCUCAGUUUUUGAGAACCAAGGUAUCAAUCUAGUAGGAGAUCACGCACGAGUCCCUCGUACCUACACAAAACGAUAGCUACUCGCAACCAAAGCGAUUAGGGGUUGUCAAUCCCUUCACGGUCACUUACAAGGGUGAGAUCUGAUAGAGAUGAUAAAUAAUAUUUUUGGUAUUUUUGAUAUAGAGAUGCAAAGUGAAAAGUAAAAGGUAAAGUAAAAACAAAGCAAGUAAUAAAGUAAUAAAGAUUGAUAUGAUGAGAAUAGACCCAGGGGCCAUAGGUUUCACUAGUGGCUUCUCUCAAGAGCAUAAGUAUUCUACGGUGGGUGAACAAAUUACUGUUGAGCAAUUGAUAGAAAAGCGAAUAAUUAUGAGGUUAUCUAGGUAUGAUCAUGUAUAUAGGCAUCACGUCCAAGACAAGUAGAUCGAAAUGAUUCUGCAUCUACUACUAUUACUCCACUCAUCGACCGCUAUCCAGCAUGCAUCUAGAGUAUUAAGUUAAAAAAAGAGUAACACCUUAAGCAAGAUGACAUGAUGUAGAGGGAUAAAUUCAUGCAAUAUGAUAAAAACCCCAUCUUGUUAUCCUCGAUGGCAACAAUACAUUACGUGCCUUGCAACCCUUUGUGUCACUGGGUAAGGACACCGCAAGAUUGAACCCAAAGCUAAACACUCCUCCCAUUGCAAGAAAUACCAAUUUAGUUGGCCAAACCAAACGGAUAAUUCUAAGAGACUUGCAAAGAUAACUCAAUCAUACAUAAAAGAAUUCAGAGAAGAUUCAAAUAUUAUUCAUAGAUAAGCUGGAUCAUAAACCCACAAUUCAUCGGUCCCAACAAACACACCACAAAAAGAAGAUUACAUCGAAUAGAUCUCCACAAGAGAGGGGGAGAACAUUGUAUAGCUACUAACUAUGGUCCCGAAGGUCUGAAGUAAAGUACUCACACUUCAUCGGAGAGGCUAUGGUGUUGAUGUAGAAGCCCUCCGUGGUAGAUGCCCUCUCCGGCGGAGCUCCGGAACAGGCCCCGAGAUGGGAUCUCGCGGAUACAGAAAGUUGCGGCGGUGGAAUUAGGUUUUUGGCUCCGUAUUUGAUCUGACAGGGGUACGUAGGUAUAUAUAGGAGGAAGGAGUACGUCGGUGGAGCAACAGGAGGCCCACGAGGCAGGGGGGCGCGCCCAGGGGGGGCGCCCCCACCCUCGUGACCUCCUCGGUUGUUCUUUGAAGCAGUGUCCAAGUCUCCUGGAUCAUGUUCAGUGAGAAAAUCACGUUCCCGAAGGUUUUAUUCCGUUUGGACUCCGUUUGAUAUUUUGUUUCUUUAAAAUACUGAAAUAGGCAAAAAACAACAAUUCUGGGCUGGGCCUCCAGUUAAUAGGUUAGUCCCAAAAAUAAUAUAAAAGUGGAAAAUAAAGCUCAAUAUAGUCCAAAACAGUAGAUAAAGUAGCAUGGAGCAAUAAAAAAUUAUAGAUAUGUUGGAGACGUAUCAAGCAUCCCCAAGCUUAAUUCCUGCUCGUCCUCGAGUAGGUUAAUGAUAAAAAAUAAUUUUUGAUGCGGAGUGAUACUUUGGCAUAAUUUCAAUGUGAAUCUUCUUAAUUGUGGCAUGAAUAUUCAGAUCCGAAAGAUUCAAGACAAAAGUUCAUAUUAACAUAAAGGUAAUAAUACUUCAAGCAAAUAAAUGAAAGGAAUCAUGUCUUCUCAAAAUAGCAUGGUUAAAGAAAGUUAUUCCUACAAAAUCAUAUAGUCUGGCUAUGCUCUAUCUUCAUCACACAAAGUAUUUAAUCAUGCACAACCCCGAUGACGAGCCAAGCAAUUGUUUCAUACUUUAGUAAUCUCAAACUUUUUCAACUUUCACGCAAUACAUGAGCGUGAGCCAUGGACAUAACACUAUAGGUGGAAUAGAAUGGUGGUUGUGGAGAAGACAAAAAAGGAGAAGAUAGACUCACAUAAACUAGGCGUAUCAACGGGCUAUGGAGAUGACCAUCAAUAGAUAUCAAUGUGAGUGAGUAGGGAUUGCCAUGCAACGGAUGCACUAGAGCUAUAAGUAUAUGAAAGCUCAACAAAAGAAACUAAGUGGGCGUGCAUCCAACUUGCUUGCUCACGAAGACCUAGGGCACUUUUGAGGAAGCCCAUCAUUGGAAUGUACAAGCCAAGUUCUAUAAUGAAAAAUUCCCACUAGUAUAUGAAAGUGACAACAUAUGAGACUCUCUAUCAUGAAGAUCAUGGUGCUACUUUGAAGCACAAGUGUGGUAAAAGGAUAGUAGCAUUGUCCCUUCUCUCUUUUUUUCUCAUUUUUUAUUUUUUAUUUUGGUGGGAUUCUUUGGCCUCUUUUUUUUAUUUGGUCUUCUUUGGCCUCUUUUAUUUUUCAUAAAGUCCGGAGUCUCAUCCCGAUAUGGGGGAAUCAUAGUCUCCAUCAUCCUUUCCUCACUGGGACAAUGCUCUAAUAAUGAUGAUCAUCACACUUUUAUUUUUUUCUUACAACUCAACAAGUACAACUCAAUACUUAGAACAAAAUAUGACUCUAUAUGAAUGCCUCCGGCGGUGUACCGGGAUAUGCAAUGAAUCAAGAGUGACAUGUAUGAAAGAAUUAUGAACGGUGGCUUUUCCACAAAUACAAUGUCAACUACAUGUUCAUGCAAAAAGCAAUAUGACAAAAGUAAUGUGUGUCAUAUGAACGAAACGGUGGAAAGUUGCAUGGCAAUAUAUCUCGGAAUGGCUAUGGAAAUGCCAUGAUAGGUAGGUAUGGUGGCUGUUUUGAGGAAGGUAUAUGGUGGGUGUAUGAUACCGGCGAAAAAUGCGCGGUAUUAGAGAGGCUAGCAUUGGUGGAAAGGUGAGAGUGCGUAUAAUCCAUGGACUCAACAUUAAUCAAAAGAACUCAUGCACUUGUUGCAAAAAUUUAGAAGUCAUCAAAAACCAAAGCACUAAACGCAUAAUCCUAGGGGGAUAGAUUGGUAGGAAAAGACCAUCGCUCGUUCCCGACUGCCACUCAUAAGGAAGACAAUCAAUAAAUAAAAUUGUACUCCGACUUCAUCACAAAGCGGUUCACCAUACGUGCAUGCUACGGGAAUCACAAACUUCAACACAAGCAUUCUUUAAAUUCAUAAUCACCCCAACUAUCAUUGCUUUGAUAUUAUCACCUCCAUAUCUCAAAACAAUUAUCAAGCAUCAAACAUAUCUUAGUAUUCAACGCACUCAAAAGAAAGUUUCACAAAUCUUGAAUACCAAGUAUAUUAUCUUUAAGCAAAUUACCAUGCUAUUAACAACUCUCAAAAUGAUCUAAGUGAAGCAUGAGAGAUCAAUAGUUUCUUUAAAACAAAUCCACCACCGUGCUCUAAAAGAUCUAAGUGAAGCACUAGAGCAAAAAUUAUUACGCUCAAAAGAUAUGAGUGAAGCACUAGAGUAUUCUAGCAAAUUCCAAAUCAUGUAUGGCUCUCUAAAAAGGAGUGUACAACAAGGAUGAUUGUGGUAAACUAACAAGCAAAGACGCAAAUAAUACAAGACGCUCCAAGCAAAACACAUAACAUGUGGUGAAUAAAAAUAUAGCUCCAAGUAAAUUACCGAUGGAAGUAGACGAAAGAGGGGAUGCCUUCCGGGGCAUCCCCAAGCUUUGACUUUUUGGUGUCCUUGGAUUAUCUUGGGGGUGCCAUGGGCAUACCCAAGCUUAGGCUCUUGCCACUCUUUGUUCCAUAAUCCAUCAAAAGAAUUCAUCCAAAACUUGAAAACUUCACAACACAAAACUCAAUAGAAAUCUCGUGAGCUCCGUUAGUGAAAGAAAACAAAAGACUACUUUAAGGUACUGUAAUGAACUCAUUCUUUAUUUAUAUUGGUGUUAAACCUACUGUAUUCCAACUUCCUUAUGGUUUAUAAACUAAUUUAUUAGCCAUAGAUGCAUUGAAAUAAGCAAACAACACACGAAAAACAGAAUCUGUCAAAAAACAGAACAGUCUGUAGCAAUCUGUAACUAAUGCAAACUUAUGGAACUCUAAAAAUUCUACCAAAAUAGGACGUACUGGAAAAUUUGUUUAUUGAUCAGCAGCAAAAAGAAUCAAUACAAAAGCACGUUUCUGUGAUUUAUUGAAGUUUUUCUCGUGAGCGCAAAGUUUCUGUUUUUCAGCAGAAUCAAAUCAACUAUCAUCAUAGCUUAUCCUAUAGGUUCUACUUGGCACAAACACUAAUUAAAACAUAAAACCACAUCUAAACAGAAAGUAGAUGGAUUAUUUAUUACUAAACAUAAGCAGAAAAACUAAAAACACAAAAUAAAAUUGGGUUGCCUCCCAACAAGCGCUAUGUUUAAUGCCCUUAGCUAGGCAUAAAAGCAAGGAUAGAUCUAGGUUUUGCCAUCUUUGGUAGGCAAUCCAUAAGUGGCUCUCAUGAUAGAUUCAUAUGGUAAUUUUAUUUUCUUUCUAGGGAAGUGUUCCAUACCCUUUCUCAAGGGAAAUUGAAAUCUAAUAUUCCCUUCCUUCAUAUCAAUAAUCGCACCAAUCGUUCUAAGGAAAGGUCUACCAAGAAUAAUAGGAUAUGAAGGAUUGCAAUCUAUAUCAAGAAUGAUAAAAUCUACGGGCACAUAAUUCCUAUUUGCAACAAUAAGAACAUCAUUAAUUCUUCCCAUAUGCUUUUUAAUAGUGGAAUCCGCAAGAUGCAAGUUUAGAGAACAAUCUUCAAAGUCACGGAAAUCUAGCAAAUCGCACAAAGUUUUGGGAAUAGUGGAGACACUAGCACCCAAAUCACACAAAGCAUGAAACUCAUAAUCUUUAAUUUUAAUUUUAAUAGUAGUUUCCCACUCAUCAUAGAGUUUUCUAGGGAUAGAAACUUUCAACUCAAGUUUUUCUUCAUACGAUUGCAUCAAGGCAUCAACAAUGUGUUCGGUAAAGGCCUUAUUUUGACUAUAAGCAUGAGGAGAAUCUAGCACGGAUUGCAGCAAGGAAAUACAACCAAUCAAAGAGCAAUUUUCAUAAUUAAAUUCCUUGAGAUCCAAAAUAGUGGGUUUUAGCAACAUCAAGAUUUUUAUUUCUUUCAAUCCCACUUUCAUCAAUUUCAUCAUCAAGAUCUAGAAACUCCGAAUUCUUAGAACGCCUUCUAGGUAAAGGAAGAUCAUAUUCAGUUUCAUCAAGAUUCAUAUUGCAGAACAAAGAUUUAAUAGGGGACACAUCAAUAACUUUUAGAUCUUCAUCUUGAUUUUCAUAGGAAUUGGAAGAACACACUUUAAUAAAGGCAUCUUUGGAAGCACGAAUCCUAGCGGUUCUUUCCUUGCACUCAUCAAUGGAAAUUCUCAUAGCUUUGAGAGACUCAUUGAUAUCAUGCUUAGGAGGAAUAGAUCUAAGCUUUAAAGAAUCAAUUUCAAGAAAAAAUCUAUCAAUGUUCCUAGCCAAAUCAUCAACCUUAAGCAAUUUCUCUUCAAGCAAAGCAUUAAAAUUCUUUUGUGAAUUCAUAAACUCUUUAACACUACUCUCAAAUUCAGAGGGCAUCUUAUUAAAAUUUCCAUAAGAGUUGUUGUAGGAAUUUCCAUAAUUAUUGGAAGGAUUAGUAGGAUAAGGCCUAGGGUUAAAAUUCCCUCUAUAUGCAUUAUUUCCAAAACUAUUCCUUCCAACAAAAUUCACAUCCAUAGAUUCAUUAUUAUUCUCAAUCAAAGUAGAUAAAGGCAUAUCAUUGGGAUCAAGAGAAGUAUUUUUAGUAGCAAACAUCUUCAUAAGUUCAUCCAUCUUUUCACUCAAAACAUUGAUUUCUUCUAUAGCAUGCACUUUUUUACUAGAAGAUCUUUCGGUAUACCAUUGAGAAUAAUUAGCCAUAAUAUUGUCAAGCAAUUUUGUAGCAUCUCCUAACGUAAUUUCCAUAAACGUGCCUCCCGCGGCCGAAUCUAAAAGAUUUCUAGAAGCAAAAUUUAAUCCGACAUAAAAAUUUAGUAUGAUCAUCCAUAAAUUCAAACCAUGAGUAGGGCAAUUAUGAAGCAUCAAUUUCAUUCUUUCCCAAGAUUGGGCAACAUGCUCAUGAUCAAGUUGUUUAAAAUUCAUAAUAUCGUUCCUAAGAGUGAUGAUCUUAGCGGGAGGAAAAUACUUAGAGAUAAAAGCAUCUUUGCACUUGUUCCAAGAAUCAAUACUAUUUUUAGGCAAAGACGAAAACCAAAUUUUAGCAUGAUCUCUAAGUGAAAACGGAAAUAACUUCAAUUUGACAAUAUUGUUAUCAGUAUCUUUCUUCUUUUGCAUAUCACACAAAUCAACAAAAUUGUUUAGAUGAGUAGCGGCAUCUUCACUAGGAAGGCCGGCGAAUUGAUCUUUCAUAACAAGAUUCAGCAAAGCAGUAUUGAUUUCACAAGACUCAUCAUUAUUAAGAGGAGCAAUUGGAGUACUAAGGAAAUCAUUAUUAUUGGUAUUCGAGAAAUCACACAAUUUGGUAUUACCUUGCGCCAUGCCAACAAGUAAUCCAACACACAAGCAACAAAAGGGCAAACGAGAAAAAGGCGAAAGAGAAAGAGAGGAGGAGAUUGGGAAAGAGAGGGUGAAUAAAAUGGCAAGGGUGAACCGGGGGAGAGGAAAACGAGAGGCAAAUAAUGUAAUGCGAGAGAUAGGGAUUGUGAUGGGUACUUGGUAUGGUCGACUUUUGCGCAACCUCCCCGGGAACGGCGCCAGAAAUUCUUCUUGCUACCUCUUGAGCACUGCUUUGGAUUUCCCUGAAGAGGAGAGGAUGAUGCAGUAAAGUAGCGUAAGUAUUUCCCUCAGUUUUUGAGAACCAAGGUAUCAAUCCAGUAGGAGAUCACGCACGAGUCCCUCGUACCUACACAAAACGAUAGCUACUCGCAACCAACACGAUUAGGGGUUGUCAAUCCCUUCACGGUCACUUACAAGGGUGAGAUCUGAUAGAGAUGAUAAAUAAUAUUUUUGGUAUUUUUGAUAUAGAGAUGCAAAGUGAAAAGUAAAAGCUAAAGUAAAAACAAAGCAAGUAAUAAAAUAAUAAAGAUUGAUAUGAUGAGAAUAGACCCAGGGGCCAUAGGUUUCACUAGUGGCUUCUCUUAAGAGCAUAAGUAUUCUACGAUGGGUGAACAAAUUACUGUUGAGCAAUUGAUAGAAAAGCGAAUAAUUAUGAGGUUAUCUAGGUAUGAUCAUGUAUAUAGGCAUCACGUCCAAGACAAGUAGAUCGAAACGAUUCUGCAUCUACUACUAUUACUCCACUCAUCGACCGCUAUCCAGCAUGCAUCUAGAGUAUUAAGUUAAAAAAGAGUAGCGCCUUAAGCAAGAUGACAGGAUGUAGAGGGAUAAAUUCAUGCAAUAUGAUAAAAACCCCAUCUUGUUAUCCUCGAUGGCAACAAUACAUUACGUGCCUUGAAACCCUUUCUGUCACUCGGUUAGGACACCGCAAGAUUGAACCCAAAGCUAAACACUUCUCCCGUUGCAAGAAGUACCAAUCUAGUUGGCCAAACCAAACGGAUAAUUCGAAGAGACUUGCAAAGAUAACUCAAUCAUACAUAAAAGAAUUCAGAGAAGAUUCAAAUAUUAUUCAUAGAUAAGCUGGAUCAUAAACCCAUAAUUCAUCGGUCCCAACAAACACACCGCAAAAAGAAGAUUACAUCGAAUAGAUCUCCACAAGAGAGGGGGAGAACAUUGUAUUGAGAUCCAAAAAGAGAGAAGAAGCCAUCUAGCUACUAACUAUGGUCCUGAAGGUCUGAAGUAAACUACUCACACUUCAUCGGAGAGGCUAUGGUGUUGAUGUAGAAGCCCUCCGUGGUAGAUGCCCUCUCCGGCGGAGCUCCGGAACAGGCCCCGAGAUGGGAUCUCGCGGAUACAGAAAGUUGCGGCGGUGGAAUUAGGUUUUUGGCUCCGUAUUUGAUUUGACGGGGGUACGUAGGUAUAUAUAGGAGGAAGGAGUACGUCGGUGGAGCAACAGGGGGCCCACGAGGCAGGGGGGCGCGCCUGGGGGGGCACCCUUGUGACCUCCUCGGUUGUUCCUUGGAGCAGGGUCCAAGUCUCCUGGAUCACGUUCGGUGAGAAAAUCACGUUCCCGAAGGUUUUAUUCCGUUUGGACUCCGUUUGAUAUUCUUUUUCUUCGAAAUACUGAAAUAGGCAAAAACAGCAAUUCUUGGUUGGGCCUCCGGUUAAUAGGUUAGUCCCAAAAAUAAUAUAAAAGUGGAAAAUAAAGCCCAAUAUAGUCCAAAACAGUAGAUAAAGUAGCAUGGAGCAAUCAAAAAUUAUAGAUACUUUGGAGACAUAUCACUUAUGCCAAGUGUUUGACGCAUAUUUCUUGGGAACGAUAUUACAUCAAGGAUGAUUAUCUUAUGAGAGCUAACACACUUUGUAUUCCCGAGUCUUCUCUUCAUUUGCUCCUUUUGCAAGAGGCUCAUGGAGGCGGACUCAUGGGACACUUUGGACGCGACAAGACAUUCACCAUGCUCUCCAAGAACUACUUUUGGCCCAAGAUGUUCCGCUACGUCUCACGCUUCACCAACCGAUGCUCUACAUGUCGCAAAGCUAAGUCAAAAGCUCAAUCCCAUGUUGUUUACAUGCCUCUUCCUAUACCAUAUCAACCUUGGGAAGACAUUAGCAUGGCCUUUGUACUUGGUUUGCCUAGAACUCAAAAUGGAAAGGAUUCCGUGUUUGUUGUUGUGGACCGAUUCUCUAAAAUGGCUCAUUUUAUCCCGUGCAACAAGAUAGACGAUGCUUCACAUAUCCCGAAUAUCUUCUGUAGGGAAAUCUUGCGCCUACAUGGAGUGCCCAAGACGAUCGUCUCGGACCGCGAUGUCAAGUUCUUGAGUUACUUUUGGAAGACUCUAUGCGCCAAGCUUGGAAUCAAGCUCUUGUUCUCUUCGGCAUACCAUCCUCAAACCGACGGCCAAACGGAGGUGACGAACCGUACACUCUCCACUCUACUUCGCGUGUUAAUUAUGAGGAACAUCAAGGAGUGGGAGGAGUGCCUACCCAUCGCCGAGUAUGCUACAACCGCGCAAGACAUUCGACUACCGGCAAGUCCCCCUUUGAGGUCGUCUAUGGCUUCAACCCUUUGUCCCCAUUGGACAUUCUACCUCUUCCACUACAAGAGUGCACCAACAUGGACGCGAGUGCAUGAGCAAGCUACCUCAAGAAGAUGCAUGAAGAUACAAGGCACACCAUCGAGCGCCAAGUACAACGAAUCGCGACCAAGCUCAACAUCAACAAGAAACCCAUGAUAUUCAACAUUGGAGAUCUAGUGUGGCUACACCUUUGCAAGGACCGCUUCCCCAACGAACGCAAGUCGAAACUUCUACCACGAGCCGAUGGAACCUUCAAGGUGCUAGCACGCUACAACAACAACGCUUACAAGAUCGACCUUCGAAGCAACAAGUACAACGUGAGCGUCAUCUUCAAUGUCAAAGAUCUCUCGCCAUACCAUGGUGAUGAAGCUUUUGAUCCGAGGUUGGAUCUUUCCCGGGGGGGAGAUGAUGCGAAGCAUCCCACGAUCAUCCCCAUGGACGUACCUACAUCUCCCACGACACCACUUGGACCAAUGACAAAAGCUCCAGCAAAGGCUAUCAAAGAUAAGGUGAACUCAAUCCUCUUCGAACUACCCUUUUCUACACAUGAGACAUGGAUACUACCUCAAGAGGAAACACUAUGUGUGAUCAGGUACUUAGAAGAAGGCCACGGAACAGCUACGCCCAAUGGCCAAGACAGCGAGGACACCGAGCAUGAAGGACAAGAAGAAGUGCGACCGAAGAAGCUCCAGCCAGCGGACGUCCGCCAGGGACCGGACGUCCGGCGCUUGAUGCUCCAGCCAGCGGACGUCCGACAAGGAUCGGACGUCCGACCCCUGAAGGCCCAGCCGACUACACCACCCAGCGAUCGGACGACCGACCUACACCGGACGACCGGCGAGUCAGCAAGCAAGCCGAAUCUACAGAAGACCGAAGCUAGCGGGCAGCCGACGGCCAGAAGACUGGAAACCACCAGACGUCCGGCACCCCUGCACCCGAGCCAAAUCAGCGGAAGUCCGAGCCCUAUUAGAUGUCCGGACCUCUGCAAGCGACUAGACGACCGGUAGAGACCGGACAUCCGCUACCUGAAUGCGCAGUCUCGGCCCCAAAGGCCAUGUACCCCUUCACUUCGUCCCCAUUUUGCACUUAGACUAUAAAUAUACCUCCUCCUCCUCCUAGUCAAGGUUAGCAUUGUGAUAGCUCAUACUUUGAGAUAGAGCUUUGCUCAUCCAUCCGGAUCUACCCCAUCGCUAGGGACCAUCACCUCUUCGGAGAAGAUCCACUUGGAUUCAAGACCUCCUCUCGGAGAAUACCCUCUUCAAGACCUCCUCACGGAGAAGAACCUAUUACCCUAUGUAUCAUCCCUUGUUGGAUUCGGAUCUUGUACCGUGUUUCGAGGAUCUAGCACAUGUGUGACUAUCUUCUUGUUGGUUGAGUGUUUUCUCUUGUGUUUCCCUCAUGUUCCCCUCUCGUGUUCUUCGUUUUCUUGGUAGGAUUCUCUCCAAACGUGAAAGAUCAGACGUCUAGGGUUCUACCCUACAUCAUAGGGUAACUGUGUAAGUUAAUGGGUUGUCCAGGACACCUUCAAGGCAACCUCACCAUCAAGGUGUCUUCUGCAAACAUGUAGGCAACAACAUCCUUUUAUUUUCAUCAUGUUCUCUUUCAUUUGUGGGCAUUCCCUUGAUUGUUUGGAUCGUUUUCUUUUGCAGGAAGAAGACACUGGCAAGGAUAUCUCUUACUUCGAGGCGUGGACCAUCUAACGUACCAUAGACGACAAGGACACGAACCCUCUCCACCCGGAGGGGGACCGGAUCAGCUCUAAAGCCUGGUCAGAUGGGGAGAACUACACGAAAAAUUGAAGGAGACAUAUGGCAAGAGGCUGAUCCUCAUGUGCUGCCGUUUGACCCUCUUGUGGCCAUUGUCGCGGCAGGCGGUAGACCGAAUAGCCGAAUGGCGGUUCACCCCGAUUCUUUCAUAACCUCCUGCCUUCCGAGAGUCAACACGGUCCGUGCUAUGAGUACCGGCUCUACUCCUACCAUAGAGCGUCACGUACGUACCACAUACCACGACCAUUAUUGAGGAUAUUCAGGUCAGCGCUUCUUUGUUGAUCCUUCAUGGUCCUGCAUGUUUGCAUUUCAACAUGAAUGACAUUUGCAUUGCUAUAUUGUAGACUCGACUGAUUGAGACCCAGAAAGAACGAGAUGAAGACCGGGCUAAGUUGAAGGCACAAGAUUAUCUAGUGAAGUCUUUACAACAUAUGGUGGCCAAUCUUUAUUCCAUGCAAGGAAAACCAGUGCUAGAUAUGCCACCAACGCUAGAGUGGAACAUUGUGAGUUUCGUUCAAACUAUUUCUAUCACCAUUUUCGGCAUUACCAUAUGCAUUCAUCUCAUUAUUGGGUCAAUUCAUCACAAUGGUCAAACAAUGUUCCGGAAGCAAACGCCACACAGGAUGUUGAUGUUACCACUCCGAUAUCCAAAACCAUGUGAACUUCAUGUUAUUUUGUGUUUGAAACUGCUCCUUGUAUGUGCUUGAGAACUAUUUCAUCUUGUGUCAUCCCGAGACUUGUAAACUUGUGGUAGUCGAGUAUGUAGACUUGUAAACCGGGGCAAAUGGCCCCCCUGCCUGGGCAAGCGGCAGUGGCCACGUGGAUCCCCAUAUGUCCCGGUUCCUGGGUGAACCGGGACUAAAGGUGUAGGGUUUUAGUACCGACCCUUUAGUCCUGAUUGGGGAACCGGGACAAAUGACUCUCACGAACCGGGAUGAAUGGGGUUUUUUCUACUAGUGAGGGAUGAAAGGGGAAAUUUGAAAAAUGUGCUCGAGCCAGUCUCCGAUGCUAAAUUGGUGACUGAAACAUCUCCAGCAUAAUGGGCGACUCUCCUGGCGACCCCGCGGGCGCCCUCGCCACGCCCGACCCCUCGCCGCCGGCGCCCUGCCUCGCCCUCUCCAUGGCUCCCCCUUCCUCCUCCGCGGUCCCGGUGCCGCCCUCCCCGGCAUGCACCCCCUCAGCCGCCGCUCCGCUGGCCAGGUUCUGCUGGGCUGACUUUGCGGAUGACCCCCUUUCCCCCUUCCCAUAGCUCCCCCGGCCCCUGCGUCUCCCCGCUCCGGUCGCCGGCUCGCUCCGCCCCGCCGGCCAGGGAGCUCAGCCCCCCACGCGAGGGUUUCGGCUCCUGGCAGGCGGGCGCCGCCCUCCCCCCUCGGCUCCCCUGAGCCCGGCUCGGGCGGAUGCCAUCCAAGGGGGGACCUUGGCUGGUCGGUCUUCGCGCCGCCGACGUGAGCUUGCCUGGGGCGUGGCCGGGCGUUCCGACCGGGGCGCCGCCCGCUCCUCCUGGCGCCGCCCAGUGGUGGUGGCGCGGCCGCCGAUCCCCCCCUUCCUCCUCCCCGUCGCCUCUCUCCCCCCCUCCCCUCCUCCCGUCCAAGACGCGCCGCACCGCCCCGUGCAGGCCGUUCAUCGCGCAUUUCGGAUCCUCCAGGCUCCAGGUGCAUGCGGACCGGGGCGCCUUGGCCUCUCCUGCCGCCCGGGCUGGUCCCGCGGCGGCGGCGGCGCCGGUGGCCGGCCUCGGUAGGGUUUCCUUCCUCGCACCCGCUCCCUCCCGGCGCGUGGACUGCUCCGCGCGGUUGGCUGGGCUGCUGGGCCCCGGCCCACCACGGCUGAUGGGCCCCUCGCGGCCCGCUUCGGUUCGGCCCACCCCGCAGCUCCCGGUCCGGCCCAGUCUGGGUAGAGCGGACCCUUGCCCUAGGCCCAGAUCUAAGGAGGCCCCCUCGAUCUGGCUCCCGUGCGGGCUCCCCCUUCCUCCUCCCCCCUGCGUCGCUAUUCCCUCCCCUCGACUCACACCCGCUGAACUCCUCUCCGCCUCGGCGACUCCUGCCACCCCCCUUCCCUCCGGCCGCCCGGCUUGCUCCCCNNNNNNNNNNNNNNNNNNNNNNNNNNNNNNNNNNNNNNNNNNNNNNNNNNNNNNNNNNNNNNNNNNNNNNNNNNNNNNNNNNNNNNNNNNNNNNNNNNNNNNNNNNNNNNNNNNNNNNNNNNNNNNNNNNNNNNNNNNNNNNNNNNNNNNNNNNNNNNNNNNNNNNNNNNNNNNNNNNNNNNNNNNNNNNNNNNNNNNNNNNNCCCUGCUCUCGCCUCCUCCCCUCUCGCCGCAUUGCCCCAUGCCGCGGGAGUGGAAUGACCCCGCCCCCCGGGACAAGAGGAAGGCGGUGGAGCUCCAGCGUGAGCCUGCCCGCCCCUCCCCCGACGGCAUCCAGCGCGAAGAGGAGCUCCGGUGGGAGCUCCGCGAGCUCCGCGACUGCCGCCGUUCCCUCACCCGUCGCGAGGACCGCGGCAGGUCCCGGUCGCCUCGGGCUUCGUCGGGAGAUUGGUGCUCCCACCGGCGCUCUCCGUCGCCGCCCCCUCGUAGGGGCCGCUCUCCAUCCCCCUCCCGCGCGGCUCGGCUCAGCCCCUCCAGCCCCAGGGACGGGAUCCUCCCCACUCCGGAGCCGUGCUGCUAUGUGCCGUCCCACGCUUCGGCUCCCGGGGGUGUGGCCCCGGCUCCUGCGCCUGGUGGUGGCCCCGCCCGCGGUCGGUCCGGACCUGCCAAGAAGAAGAAGCGGCGCGGCGUUCGCGGCGUGCUGCCUGUGCCCCCUCCCGCGGGUCCGGGAUCCUCCACCACUCCCGGCCCCGUCUCCGGUCUCCCUCGCCCCCCCUGCUUCAACUGUGGGGUGAGGGGGCACUCGCAAGUCAACUGCGUCAACCGCCAGUGCUGCUACCUCUGCAAGGAUCCCGGCCACCCCGCCCUCCUCUGUCUGGAUAGACCGGUGGUCUCGGAGCUCAUGAUUUAUGGGCAUGGGAUCCAGGGGUUGGGUUUCUUCCACCUCGAGGUCCCUGACGCCCCUCCGCCGUCUCCUUCCCUUCAGGCGAUUGUCACGGUCGUCGAUGGCGUGGCAUCCCCGGAGAUGAUUGAGGCUGAGCUCAACCAUCUCUACCGUCACCAGUGGGACUGGGUGGUCACCCCAUCCGCCGGUCACAUCUUCUCUGUCGUCUUCCCCGACUCCGUCAGCUACGGCUACGCGAUGCGUAGUGGCCGUAUCACUCUCGCCCUCAACCAGCUAGUUGUCGAGAUCUCCGAGCCGGUCCUCGAUGCUCAGGCCGUGGCCUUCCUCGACACCGCCUGGAUCCUCAUCUCCGGCCUCCCCGAUAUUGCACGGUCCGAGCUCGUCAUCCGCCAGAUGUCCCGUCUCUUGGGCAAGGUGGUGGCGGUUGAUGAGCUCUCUAUUCGCAAGGAGGAGGAGGAGGUCCGGGUCAAGGUCAAGUGCCUCGACUCCUCCAAGCUUCGCACCUCAGUCCACGUCUUCUUCAACGACCAGGGCUUCGACCUCAGGUUCGCCCCCGAGCCUCCCAACCACGUUGGGAGCCCCCGCUCCUUCGACGCCGGCCCCCCAGGUGGCAACCCGGGGGCCGGUGGGGACUACCACGGCCGUCACCGCUCCGGUACCACCGCUCGGAUGGGGAGGGGGCGUCCGAGGACUCCCGCUCCCCUUCCCCCUCGCCUCCUCCACCUGCCGCGGGGGGCAAGGGCCGCCAGGCCGCUCCUCUCCCUCCGCUGGGUGGCCCUUCGCUCGCGGCGGCGUCUCCCUCCGAGGGGAGCGACAUCUCCAGUGUGGGCAUGGUGGUCUGCCCGUCCUCCUCCCCGCGUUUCCCGGCUCGUCCCCUCCUACGGAGCGGGACUCGGUGGCCUUGCCCCUCGGCGCCCCCCCGAUGUGCCGGCGGCGCCCGCGGAGGGGGAAAUGCCGCCUGUGGUGGAUCCCCCCUCCCCGGCCGCAGGUAUCCCCACCGCCUUGUCUCCUCCACGGCUAGGGGAUGCCCCGCCCUCGCCUCUGCCGCGGGAUGCCCCGGCUCCUGUCCCUGCGACCCUCCUCGCGCCACCUCCUCCGCCGGCUGCGUCGCCACCUCCUGCGCCACUCCUCCUCGGCUGUUCUGGGCCUGUUCAGCUGGCCUCUCCCUCACCGUCUCUGACGGGGGAGGGUGCGGCUCGCGUGCUCACUCCGAUGGCGGCCCAGCCCCCUCCCCCCCGUUCAGCCGCCUACUCCCGUCGCGGUAGGUCGACCUCCUGCCCGGUGGUUGCCUCCCGCCGGAGUGCGCGGCUGGAUGCUGCCCACCCUGAGGGCAGCCCAGCUCUGCCCAUCCCCGAGCGGGCGGAGCUCCGCGCUUCCGUCCGUAACCUGGAGCUAGGUACGCCCCCAUUCCCCCCUCUGCUCCGUCUUGUUCCUUCUCUGCGCUUGAGUCUAUUCCUUUGGGGAACCUCGCCAAAGUGGCCUCCGACUCCGCGAUCAUCUUCAGAGGGGAGGCUGGCCCCCCUUUAGUCCAGAUCGCGGCCAUCAGAGCUCGUGAGAUCCUUGAUGGGAAGCUUGCGGAGGCCCGUGCAGCCCUCCUUUUACCUCCGGCCGCUUCUGCGGUGGGGGUGUCUCCCACCCCGCUUGGUCCGCGGCGGACGGUGCCCCCCCUCCGGCGGCCGGGGCGGAGAUCCGUGGCCGUACUCGCUCCCGCACUGCGGCUCUUCGCGUGCAAAGCGCUUCUCGUGUUCUGGAGUCAAGCAGCCCCCCGAUGGCUCCUUAAUGCGAGCCCUCUUCUGGAACAUCCGCGGCUUCGGCCAUGAUGGUCGCCGCCGCCAACUUGUGAAGUACAUGCGGGAUGAGCACAUCGACAUCGUUGCCGUUCAGGAGACCAUGCGUCGCGACUUCUCGCUCCCUGAGCUCGACCGUUUGAGCUCCCACCUCUUUGCGUGGCACUGGCUCCCUUCUAGUGGGAGCUUAGGCCACUCGGGUGGCUUCCUUUUAGGUGUGAAGGAUGCCACCUUCGAGGUGGGCAGCAUGGAUCGGGGGGAAUUCUUCGUCAGCAUGGAAUUAUUCGAGAGAUCUCUCAACUUCAAGUGGGAGAUCAUCAUUGUCUACGGGCCUGCCAACCAUAGUCGGUCGGCCGCCUUCCUUGAGGAGCUCCACCGGAAGAUCUCGGCUGCCUUCCUCCACGUGGUAGUGGGUGGCGACUUUAACCUGCUGCGCGUGGCGGAAGACAAGAGCAACGACAAUGUCUGCUUUGCCCGGAUGCAGUUGUUUAAUGACUUCAUUGCUGACCUCGCCCUCCGGGAGAUUGAUAGGAUUGGUGCCCGGUUCACCUGGACCAAUCGGCAAGCCUCCCCGACCCAGUCCAUCUUGGACAGGGUCUUAGUGUCCCCGGAGUGGGACCUCCGUUGCUCCCUAGCCUCUCUCCGCGCCAUCACUAGGAUUGGCUCGGAUCAUGUCCCCCUUCUUCUCUCCUCUGCGGAUGAGCGUCCGCCGAUCCCCCUCGUUUCCGCUUUGAGACCUUCUGGCUCUCCCAGUCUGGAUUUACCGACACCGUCUGCGCGCGGUGGAUCGAGGCUCGGGCCCACCCCCACCCUCGGCCCCCCUCGGCUAUUGACGCGUGGCACUUCUAUGCGAAACAUGGCAGGCGGUUUAUGAAGGGAUGGGGGGGCAACCUUGGCUGCGAUGCCAGGGAGCGUAAGAAGGCGAUGCUUACCGCGAUCCAGGCCCUUGACCUUAGGGCCGACAUGGUGGGUCUCUCUCCGGACGAGUGGUUGUCCCGCUAUGACCUCGAAGACCAACUCUUUGUGAUCUACACCGAUGAGGAGGCUUAUUGGUGCCUUCGGGGCGCGCAGAAAUGGGUCCUGAAGGGUGACGCGAAUACUGCAUUCUUCCAGGCUAUCGCCAACGGCCGCCGUAGAUGCAACACCACCCCCCUUCUCUGGGAUGGGGAGACCCUCCUCCAGGACCCCCGCGACAUCCGGACCCAUGUCGACGGCUUCUAUAGGUCCCUUUUCUCUGCCGCUCCUCGGAGCGGCAUCUCCCUCGCCCCUGAUUGUUGGGCCGGUCUCCAGCUAGUGUCUGACUUGGAGAACGCGGCCUUGACGGCCCCCUUCUCUGAGGAGGAGGUCUGGGAGGCUAUCAAGGGUAUGAAUGCGUCUUCUGCUCCGGGCCCGGAUGGACUCCCAGUCAUCUUCUUCCAGACCUUCUGGAACGUGAUUAAACCAGAAGUCAUGGCCAUCUUCAAGGAAUUGUUUGUUGGCUCUAUUGACCUGGGGAGCCUCAACUACGGGAUCAUCUCUCUCAUCCCCAAGGUCCCUGGGCAUCUGACAUCCGGCAGUUCCGGCCGAUCACGAUCAUUAAUGUGAUCUUCCGGAUCCUGGCCAAAGGGUACGCCAAUAGGGUGACCCUGCUUGCUGACCGGAUAACCCACCCUAACCAGUCGGCCUUCCUUAAGGGCCGAUAUAUCCUAGAUGGAGUCCUGGUCCUUCAUGAAGUCCUUCACGAGGUCCGGGUCAAACGCCUUAAGGCGGUCUUUCUGAAGAUCGAUUUCCACAAAGCCUAUGACUCUGUUAGCUGGACCUUCCUCAGGGAAGUCCUUCUUCGGAAGGGCUUUGAUGACCGGUGGAUCACUAGAGUCAUGCAAAUGGUCUCUUGCGGUCGCACGACGGUUAACAUCAAUGGCGAGAUUGGUCCUUUCUCCCCUACCCUUUGUGGGGUGCGCCAAGGCGACCCCUUCUCCCCGUUCCUGUUCAAUAUGGUAGUGGACGCUCUUGCCUCCAUCCUUGAUAAGGCAAAAGCCGCUGGCCACAUCCGUGGGAUUACCCCACACCUUUCUGGGGGCUCGGGGAUCUCCAUCCUCCAGUAUGCUGACGACACGAUCAUUAUGGUCGAAGUCUCGGAGGUGGACAUCGCCAACCUCAAGUUCCUCCUUCUCUGCUUCCAAUAGAUGUCGGGCCUCAAGAUCAACUUUGAGAAGAGUGAUGUCAUGGUUAUGGGAUAUUCCCCCUCUGAGUCUAUGGCCAUCGCCAACAGACUUAAUUGCCGCCUGGGCUCUUUCCCCACCUCCUACCUGGGGACACCCAUUAGUGACUCGCGACUCUCCGUCGCGGACCUGCGGCCCUCCAUGACUAAGCUCCAAUCCCGUUGCGAGCCCUGGCAGGGGAGAUGGCUAUGUAAGGCGGCCCAGACUAUUCUCAUCAACUCUUCCCUCUCCAGUCUUCUUCUGCUCCUUAUGAAUUUCUACAGCCUCCAUGAAUCUCUCCACAAGGAGAUCGCCAAAUUUCAGUCCCGCUUCUACUGGGCUGGCGAGCAUGAUAAGCAGAAGUACCACAUGGUCAGCUGGCCUGACAUCUGCAAGCCCAGGGAGCAAGGUGGUCUGGGCAUCAUGUGCUCUAAAAGGAUGAAUAUUGCCGUUCUCUCCCGUUGGCUCUGGCGCAUCGCCCAGGGUCAAGGUGGCCUCUGGCUCGACAUUAUCCGGAAUAAAUACCUGCGGGGUCAGCCCCUAGCCUUCUGCCAGAAAUCGGGCGGCUCUCAGUUCUGGGAGUCUAUUGUCUAGCUUCUCCCGGUGCUCCGCAUUGGGACCUCCAUCUCGGAGGGAUCCAGCCUCUCGACGCUUUUCUGGUUUGAUCAUUGGGCCGGAGACUCUCCCUUUGCGGCCCGCUUCCCCGCCCUCUUCUCUAUCUCCGUCGACCCCACGAUUUCGGUCAAUAGGGCCCUUCUUGACUUAGGGCGCCUUGCUUUCCGUCGGCCUUUUGGGCCGGCGGAAUCCGCCGCCUGGCGUGAGUUGCUUGAUUGCGUUGUGUUGCAUGAGCCAUUGGUGGAUGGCAGACCGGACCUUGUGCGGUGGCGUCUGGAUCCGUCGGGCUUGUUCUCCACCAAGUCGCUAUACCCGGCCAUUGCCCCAUCCUCCGUUCCCCUCCCCCUAUCGAUGGUGUGGUCCGUCCGCGUUCCCCUGAAGAUCCGCAUAUUCAUGUGGCAGUGGAUUCGCGGCCGGGUCCCGUCUGGAGUGGAGGUCUGCAAGCGCAAUGGCCCGGGCACCGGUAUCUGCCCGCUCUGUGGAGUCCCUGAAGACUCGAACCAUAUCUUCUUCUCCCGCGUCUCCGCCCAGUUCCUCUGGAGCUGCUUUCGCGAGGUGGUCAGUGGUAGUUGGUGCCACACCAAUUUCCCGGACCUUUUUGCUGAACUCCAGUUGUCCCACGCGUCCUCUCGCCACAUUAGGUGGCUUGAGGUUGGCGUUCUCGCCUGGACUCUUUGGACCGUUCGCAAUAAGCUUGUGAUUCAGCACGCUCCCCUUCGUCGCGCUACUGACGCUCUCUACAAAUUCUCGGGUUUCUUGCAGCUUUGGCGGCCGCUUAGCCGCCCCCCGGACCGUGACGCCAUCUCCGCCUUCAUCGCCGACAUCCGUUCGAUGGCCGUCCGCCUGUCGCCGCCGCCCCCGCCGCCUCCGCCGGAUCCUGACUAGACGCCUUGUGUUUGGUGUGUGGGUGUUGUUUUUCUUUUCCUUUUGGGCUUGUUGAGCUGUGCCCUCAGCAGAACCUAUGUACUUUGUCGUGAGUCUUGGGUGGGUGUGUGUGGACUUGCUUCGGUUUGUAUGCUCUGUGGCGGUUUGUUUUAUUUAUAAAGCGGGGCGAAAGCCUUUUUCGGUAAAGGGAAAAUUUUUAGGUACUUCUGCUAUAAAGUGCGAAGGCGUUACCGACCCGGCAACAUUGGAGGCACUUGCUUGCUGAGAAGCUCCUUUUUCCGGCGUUGGAUCUCGCUCUGUCACAUAUAAUAGUGUCGGAUUGUCAAGAGGUCGUCAAGAACAUCAAGAACAAUGCAGGAGGUUUGUACGGCAGUAUUAUCAAGGAGAUCAUAGCUACUUCCAUCUCAGUUUAUAGCAUGUCCUUUCAUCUUUGAAGGACGUGAGAAAACAAUGAGGCUCAUAGCCUCGCUAAGCACGCUUUAGGCCUUUUUUUGGGACCCCAUCUGUGGUCCUUCAUCCUUCAGACGUCAAAUGUAUUCCAAUUUAUUUGCCUACGAUGAUUAAUAAAGUGUGUUUAGACUAAAAAAGGUGGACCACGAUUCCUAAGGAAAAGCAAAUAGGCUACUGCGAAGAAGAAAAUGAAUCAUAGUCUUUUUUUUGAAUACUUUGGAUUGCUUACCGUUCACAAUACUGCAUCAAAUUAUAGAUGGAUCAUGGCUAACAGCUCAAACUAAACCGUCCACAACGAAUUUAGGGACGGAUGGAUCAUGGAUGGUUACAAUACUGCAUGAGAUUAUAGGCACAAGCCUCAUGCCCAGCUUUGUUGGAAUUUAAAGGAAAAAGAAGCAAAAAAAAAAAAAGACGCGCCAGGUAGGGGUCGAACCUACGGCCUUCCGCUUAGGAAACGGACGCUCUAUCCACUGAGCUACAGGCGCUGCUAUUUCAGAAUGUAAUGAGAUACUUUCUAGAAAGAACGUGGCAAGUGGCAACUGAAUUUCACAAAAGAUGAAUACCGUCCCUGUCUUUUGAUUUAAUUUUGAACUAGUAAAACUAAACGAAUAUGUGUUUGUUUGUCACAGGGAACGAGACAUUGCAAAAGCUAGGGACGAUCGAAACACUGUAGAACAUGAUGUGUACCUGAGGAUGGUGUACCACAUGCCGAGUGUCAACACUACCACCCUCCUCAACAUCUUCACUAGCUUGAGCAGUCUUGCCACCGUCUUUGGUGCCUACGUCAGUGAUACUUACCUCGUCCGCUGCACGCCAUCGCCGCCGCCGCCGCCGCCCCCUCCUUCAUUGGCAUGUUCAUCCUCACCACCAUUGUUGUGAUCCACGCCGACCACCCUCCAGCGUGCACGUGUGGCACCUGGGCUCAGGGAACCAUAUGUGCCCUGCAUACCAGCCCAAGGACCAACGUCUUCUGGUACACAGUGCACAUCGAUGGAGCUGAACGACGUCGUUCACGUGAUGGAAUUGAAGGAGAAGUCCCUCCUGACCCCGCAAAUCGACGAGAAUGAGAUGGAGAUCAAGGGGACUAGAUCUUGGACGCCUUCGCCGCCUCCCUCGAGACAUGGCGCCAGGAGGAGGUGUGGAGGGUAGCUCAUGAGAAGGAGAUGUGGUGGGUCAUCAAGAAUUUGGACAGGGCCGGUCCUGAGAUUUCGGGGCCGGGGCGAAAUAAAAUUGGGGGCCCUUAAUAUACAAGUCAUUAUAAUUAUAUAUGUGUGUGUCUAUAUAUAUAUUUGUCUCAAGAAAAGGUAUACAUAAAUUAUUAUUAAUAAUACUUAAGUGCAUCCAGAAUCAAUAUGCAUAUCAAAUAAUUUAUACAUAUUACCUUAAAAAUUUCUUCUAACAUUCCUCGAUGCAAAGUCACUUAUGAUGGGGUCGAUGUCAGUUUCAUCUAAUAAUUUCUUCUCGAUGCAUAACGUAGCCAAACCAUUUAACCUCUUUUGAGUCAUUGUAGACCCCAGAUAAUUCUUCAAUAAUUUCAACUUCAAAAAGGUUCUUUCGGCCUAUACGACCGUCACAAGCACAUUAAAUAAGACGCGAUAGGCAAUGGAGAUAUUUGGAUAGCAAUCAACUUCUCUGACAUGCCCGAAAAUCUCCAUAGCACACAUUACGCCAUCUGGCAAAGUGAAUAUCAUAAUAUUCAAUUCAGAAAUAAGAUCGUAUACCUCAACAUCAGAUGAACCAUUAAGAGAGAAAGUUUCUGCAAAUUUUGUGCAACACUCUUCAAGUUCAUUGUCACUUAAUGACUUCAGGGUGCCCGAGCUCAAUAAAAAUCCGAAUAUAUCCUUAAACACCAUGAGUUCUUUAAAUCUGUCAUUCAAAGAAGUGAUUGCCACAUCAACCAAAGCAUUAAAAUACUUAACUCGGAAAGCCUUCUCAGCUUCUAGAAUUUCUUCUUGACAAUCACUUUCGUCCUACUGUUUCUUCCUCUUAGCACGACGUUUCACUGGAAAAUAUGGCUAUAUUCCCAUUUCAAUUGCAAUAACUUUAGCGAUGCUCAAACUUGAAGAAAACUCCUCAUCUCUGUACUUUUCAAAAUAUUGUGUUAUACCUUUUAUUUGCUUUAAAGCGGAGUCAAUGCACAUGCACUAGUAGAAAACAGGGCAUUUGUCCCGGUUGGUGAGGGCCUUUUGUUCCGGUUCUUGAAUCGGGACUAAAGGGUCGUUAUUAAUGCCUCCCCCUUUAGUCCCGGUUCCAACAAGAACCGGGACAGAUGGUCCUCCACGUGGACGGUGCGCCGAGCCCAGGCAGUAGGGCCUUUGGUCCCGGUUGGUGGCACCAACCGGGACCAAAAGGCAUCCACGCGUCAACAUUUCAGUGGCUGGGGUUUUUGUUUUUUUGAAGGGGGGGGGGUUGGGGGUUUUGGGCGGUUAAUUUAGGUGUUUCAUAUAUUGUGUUAGCUAACUAAUUAAUAAAGAGAAGUGUCCUCUCUUAUGUACGUGCUUGGUCGACGCUACGUAUUGUACAUAGAGAGGCCCUCGACACGCUAGCUAGUAAGAAAAUGAAGGGAACCAUUAAGUACAGAAGUUCGUCAUGCAUACCGAGAGAAGUGAUCGAUCAACCUCUCCUUCUCCGAGAGAUUGGUCGAACAACAAGUUUUCAUAUUAUCUAUCUGAUGCUACUGGUUACAUACAUAUACAAUAUGUAAGAUAUCUUACAAUCCCCUAGCAAUUGAAAUCAACUUCCACAUGAUAUUCUCCGGCUUUAUUGAUGACGUGGUCAAGAAAGAAUCCCGCCAAUUCCUCUUGAAUUGCUUUCAUGCGAUCUUGUUCUAGGAGUUCAUCCCGCAUCUGCCACGUCUAAUUUGAAGAAGGGGGUUAAUACAUAUAUGAAUGAAACUCAACAGAAAUGAUGGUGUAAUAAAAUGAAAUUGUGAAUAUUAUUGCUUACGCACUUCAUAUUGUCUUUUAGAGUAGCCCCGCUUAUUUUUUAAAGUCGCGUUGUAGAUGAACUCGCACACGUAGUAUCCACAGAAAUCAUUCCCUUGUUCCUGCCACAAGCACUUUACGAGAAAUAGAGGUCAAUCAAACUGAUAAUGAAGCAUUAUAAAUGGCAUUGAUGAAAGUACAGCUAUAGAAACAACGGGAGAUGCGCGCAACUAGCUAGCUAGUAGUACUUACUUUCGGGUAUGUAUAUUGCAGCUCCUUCGGCAGUCCCGGAACUUCUGCGGUGAACUGUUUCCAAACCCUGCAAGACAAAGAAAAUAAUUAUUAUUACUUGAGAUAUCAGGAAAUGAACAAAAAGUUGUCGAUAUGGUGCGAUAAUUAUCUAUUGAACUUACUUGUUGAGCAAAUUAGUCAUGUCCGCAUAGGUUUGGGGAUCUUUUCGUCUCGAGUCUAAGACGUUUACUACUCCCCGCUCAAGCUUAAUCUCCAGAAGAACAUAGUGGUACCUGCGCACGCAUGCAUAACUCAUCAAUUACAUUACUAUAAACUCGCUCGAGUAAUAAGGGAAAUCGAAUAUGCACAUUGGUGGAUGCUGAUCGGGAUCUUGUCCCUAACAAGAACCCCGCACUAAGCAGCAAAUGCGUUCUUUGUCUGGAUGGCUUCAAUCAGUACGCCAUCGCGCACGAUUGCUGUGAUCUCAAACCUUUCAUCCGAGCUCAGCUUUUUCUUUGGGACUCGUCUCCUUACCGAAGUUGUGCUCGAUCCAGAGGGCUAGAAAAAAGAAGAAAGACAAGAGUUAAUUAAUAUGUGUACAUAUACCAAAACAAUGAAUGCAUCAACUAGCUAGUCAGCACAGGCUUAACUAAUAUAUAUACCUGGCCAGACUCGGUUCGGUCACCGGAGCCGUCAUCACGGUCUCCUUGCACCGUCAUUGGGUCACCGGAGCUGUCCUCAUGGUCUCCUUCUUGCACCGGCAUUGGGUCAAAGGAGCCAUCAUAAUUGCCUGCUUCUUCACCCAGUCCUUCCAGACCAUCGGUGUCGUUCAGAAACGAUAAGACGACAUCACUUCCAUGUGCGAUUAUCUCCUCCAACAUCACUUCUGUUGCUACGUCUCGGGGGGUGUCCAUAGUUUCUACAAAUAUUUACAACAUGGCAAUUAUUAUUCAAACAUGACAGAUAUGGAAUCAUAUUAAUUAGUGGCCUCGACGCUGCUUCUCUAGGGUUUGGGGUGGCCUCGACAAUGCUUCAAGGGGGUAAUAUCGACAAUGACGAGAUACAUACACGGCAAAAUAAAUGUUAUCGGGGAGGGGGUAUAUCGACCCCCCCCAUGUGUUGAAGUUAACAUGAGGGGGUAUAUCGACCCCCCCCCCACGUGUUGAAGUUAUCGGGAGGGGGUAUAUCGACCCUCCCUCACGUGUUGAAGUUAUCGGGAGGGGUUUAUAUCGACAACGACGACAUACGUACAUGGAAAAAUAAUAUUAUCGGGGAGGGGGUAUAUCGACCCCCCCCCACGUGUUGAAGUUAUCGGGAGUUUGUAUCAACACGACAUACGUACAUGGGAAAAUAAUAUUAUCGGGGAGGGGGUAUAUCGACUGCCCCCCACCUCGUGUUGAAGUUAUCGGGAGGGGUAUAUCGACGACGACAGAGGAGAAGAUCGAAGAAAAAAAAGAAGAAAGAAAGAGGAGAAGAAGAAAGGAAUAGAGGGAGAAGAAGAAAAAAUAGAAUAAUUCUACUUUUUCUUCUUCUCCCUCUAUUCCUUUCUUCUUCUCCUCUUCUUUUUCUUCUUUUUUCCUCUUCUUAUUUAUUUCUCCUCUUCUUCCUCUCCUCUUCUUCCCCUUUCUUCCUCUUCUUAUUUUCCUUUUCCCUCUCCUUCUUUUUCUUCUUCUUCUUCCUUCUUCCUUCUUCCUCUUUUCUUCCUUUUACUUAUUUUACUUUUUCCUCUACACUAACCUAAAAUGCACUAACCUAAAAUCAAUAUCUACUAAUAACCUAAAUAAAAAAUUAAUACAUAUAUGAAAAAACAUAUAUAAACAAAAAAUGCUAUGAACAUUAUAUUCAUACAUACAUCCACAUCCAUUCAUCAUAUAGCUACCACAUACAUAUAUACAUUAUAUAUAUGAAAAAAAUGCAAUGAACAAAAAAAUACACAUGUAUAUAUGAAAAAAAGCACACUACUGAACACAGAGCCCUAAUGGCGGCGGCUCACAUCGGGGGCGGCCGGCGAGGGCGACGGCGGGGGCGGCGAGGGUGUCGGCGACGACCACGGUAGGGGGCGCGGGCCGGGGCAGGGGCGUGGCCGGCGACGACGGCUACGAUGGGGGCCGGGCCGGGUCGUUGGGCAGGGNNNNNNNNNNGGACGGCGUCGGCGUGGGCUCGAGGGCGGCGGACGGCGCAGGCCGGGGCAGGGGCAUGGCCGGUGACGACGGUGACGGUGGGAGGCAGGUCGUGGGGCAGGGGCGCGAACGGGAGCGCUCGGGGUGGCGGACGACGUGGGCGUGGGCUCGGGGGCGGCGGACGGCGUCGGCGUGAGCUCGGGGGCACGGACGACAGCGACAGCGGCAGGGCAGCCUGGCGGCGUCGAGGAGGUCGGCGUCGCCGGGGGCAACUGGGGAUGAAAUUCUGAAUUUUUGCAAAGUGUUUGCUUAUAUAGCGAAGCCUUUAGUCCCGGUUCAUGCCACCAACCGGGACUAAUGCACCCUUUAGUCCCGGUUGGUGCCGCCAACCGGGACCAAAGGCCUCUUUUCAGCAGCCCAAAGGGUGGGAAGCGGCGGCCUUUAGUCCCGGUUAGUGGAACGAACCGGGACUAAAGGGGGGCAUUGGUCCCGGUUGGCGCCACGAACCGGGACCAAAGGGUGGCAUUGGUCCCGGUUUGUUGCACCAACCGGGACCAAUGGCCUUGCACAGCGGCGUGGUGGUGAGAGUUUAGUCCCACCUCGCUAGUUGAGAGCGCCCUGCACUUGUUUAUAAGCUCCGCUGCCUCUUCCCACUCGAACUCCUCUGAACUGCAGGCCUAUGGGCCUAAUUUGACAUUGCUUUGCCUAUGGGCCUGCUGGGCCUUCUACGGGCCGGAAUCCUGGCCCAUGGUAGGGUUUCUAGUCGUAUUCAGGCCAUGGGGGCCCAGUAGGAGGCACUUUUUUGUUUUUUUGUUUUCUUUACUUAUUGUUGCUAUUAUUAUUAUUUUUUCUAGUUUUUUUGUUUUGUUUUCUGCAUUAUUUAUUUUCUUUUGUUUUUCGCUUUAUUUUUUAAUUCCUUUUGCUUUUAAUUUUAGGAAAAUUACAANNNNNNNNNNNNNNNNNNNNNNNNNNNNNNNNNNNNNNNNNNNNNNNNNNNNNNNNNNNNNNNNNNNNNNNNNNNNNNNNNNNNNNNNNNNNNNNNNNNNNNNNNNNNNNNNNNNNNNNNNNNNNNNNNNNNNNNNNNNNNNNNNNNNNNNNNNNNNNNNNNNNNNNNNNNNNNNNNNNNNNNNNNNNNNNNNNNNNNNNNNNNNNNNNNNNNNNNNNNNNNNNNNNNNNNNNNNNNNNNNNNNNNNNNNNNNNNNNNNNNNNNNNNNNNNNNNNNNNNNNNNNNNNNNNNNNNNNNNNNNNNNNNNNNUAAACUUUCUGUUAGUGCCAUUGGAAACACUUUUUUUGUUUUUUGUUUUCUUUGUUGCUUUAUUUAUUUUAUUUUGUUUCUACUUACAACAAAAUACUCAUUGUUGCUAUUUUUAUUUUGUUUCCAGUUUUUUUGUUUUGUUUUCUACAUUAUUUAUUUUCUUUUUUUUGCUUUAUUUUUAAUGCUUUUUGCUUUUAGGUCAGCAAAAUUAUAAACUUUUUGUUAGUGCUAUUAGUUUUCAAAUUUGAAUAGUUAAAAUUUGAAUUCUUUGAAAUUUGUGUGAAUCACAGGUUUGUGAUUAACUUAACUAAAAAAAUGAACAUAGAUGCGCCUAUACAAAAAAUCAACCUAAAUUCAUAAUAAAUUUCUAUGAAUUUCAGAGAAAUUCACUAUGAAUUUAGGUCAAAUUCCCUAUAUAGGGGCAUCUAUUUUCACUUUGAGAGGAGCUCAACAAGGCAGAGAGGGACGGACUUAUAAACCGGUGUGAGCGCCCUUCGGUUGGCGAGGUGGGACUAAACUCUGAGCGCAACGAGGACCAACCCUUUAGUCCCGGUUUGUGCUACAAACCGGGACUAAUGGUCAUGGGCCAGGGGCGAGGCGCAUUGGGCGCAGUUCGUGCGUGGAACCGGGACCAAAAGUGAAGGAAAUAUGCCCUAGAGGCAAUAAUAAAGUUAUUAUUUAUUUCCUUAUUUCAUGAUAAAUGUUUAUUAUUCAUGCUAGAAUUGUAUUAACCGGAAACAUGAUACAUGUGUGAAUACAUAGACAAACAUAUAGUCACUAGUAUGCAUCUACUUGACUAGCUCAUUAAUCAAAGAUGGUUAUGUUUCCUAACCAUAGACAUGUGUUGUCAUUUGAUUAAUGGGAUCACAUCAUUAGGAGAAUGAUGUGAUUGACAUGACCCAUUCUGUUAGCCUAGCACUUGAUCGUUUAGUAUGUUGCUAUUGCUUUCUUCAUGACUUAUACAUGUUCCUGUAACUAUGAGAUUAUGCAACUCCCAUUUACCGGAGGAACACUUUGGGUACUACCAAAUGUCACAACGUAACUGGGUGAUUAUAAAGGAGUACUACAGGUGUCUCCGAAGGUACAUGUUGAGUUGGCGUAUUUCGAGAUUAGGUUUUGUCACUCCGAUUGUCGGAGAGGUAUCUCUGGGCCCUCUCGGUAAUGCACAUCACUAUAAGCCUUGCAAGCAAUGUAGCUAAUGAGUUAGUUACGGAAUGAUGCAUUACGUAACGAGUAAAGAGACUUGCCGGUAACGAUAUUGAACUAGGUAUUGGAUACCGACGAUCGAAUCUCGGGCAAGUAACAUGCCGAUGACAAAGGGAACAAAGUAUGUUGUUAUGCGGUUUGACCGAUAAAGAUCUUUGUAGAAUAUGUAGGAGCCAAUAUGGGCAUCCAGGUUCCGCUAUUGGUUAUUGACCAAGAAUAGUUCUAGGUCAUGUCUACAUAGUUCUCGAACCCGUAGGGUCCGCACGCUUAAGGUUUCGAUGACAGUUAUUUUAUGAGUUUAUGAGUUUUGAAAUGGUCGAGACAUAAAGAUCGAUAUAUUGGACGACUAUAUUCGGAGUUCGGAAAGGUUCCGAGUGAUUCGGGUAUUUUUCGGAGUACCGGAGUGUUACGGGAAUUCGCGGGGAGAAGUAUUGGGCCUUAUUGGGCCAUACGAGAAAGAGAGAGGGGCUUCCUAGGGCAGGCCGCGCGCCCCCCAAGGCCUAGUCCGAAUUGGACUAGGGGGAGGGGCCGCACCCCCUCUUUCCCCCUUCUCCUACUCCAACAAGUAAGGAGGGAGUCCUACUCCCGGUGGGAGUAGGACUCCCCUUGGCGCGCCUCUCCCUGGCCGGCCGCCUCCUCCCCUUGCUCCUUUAUAUACGGGGGCAGGGGGGCACCCCAUGACACACAAGUUGAUCUACGGAUCGUUCCUUAGCCGUGUGCGGUGCCCCCUUCCACCAUAUUCCACCUCGGUCAUAUUGUCGCGGAGUUUAGGCGAAGCCCUGCACCGGUAGAACAUCAUCAUCGUCACCACGCCGUCGUGCUGACGGAACUCAUCUCCGGAGCCUUUGCUGGAUCGGAGGGCCGGAGAUCGUCAUCGAGCUGAACGUGUGCUGAACUCGGAGGCCCCGUACGUUUGGUGCUUGGAUCGGUCGGAUCGUGAAGACGUACGACUACAUCAACCGCAUUGUGUUAACGCUUCCGCUUACGGUCUACGAGGGUACGUGGACGAACACUCUCCCCUCUCGUUGCUAUAUCAUCACCAUGAUCUUGCAUGUGCGUAGGAAAGUUUUGAAAUUACUACGUUCCCCAACAGUGGCAUCCGAGCCUAGGUUUUAUGCGUUGAUGUUAUAUGCACGAGUAGAACACAAGUGAGUUGUGGGCGAUACAAGUCAUACUGCUUACCAACAUGUCAUACUUUGGUUCGGCGGUAUUGUGAGAUGAAGCGGCCCGGACCGACAUUACGCGUACGCUUACGCGAGACUGGUUUCACCGUUACGAGCACUCGUGCUUAAAGGUGACUGGCAGGUGUCUGUCUCUCUCACUUUAGCUGAAUCGAGUGUGGCUACUCCCGGUCCUUGCGAAGGUUAAAACAACACCAACUUGACGAACUAUCGUUGUGGUUUUUGAUGCGUAGGUAAGAACGGUUCUUGCUAAGCCCGUAACAGCGACGUAAAAUUUGCAACAACAAAGUAGAGGACGUCUAACUUGUUUUUGCAGGGCAUGUUGUGAUGUGAUAUGGUCAAGACGUGAUGCUAUAUUUUAUUGUAUGAGAUGAUCAUGUUUUGUAACCGAAGUUAUCGGCAACUGGCAGGAGCCAUAUGGUUGUCGCUUUAUUGUAUGAAAUGCAAACGCCCUGUAAUUGCUUUACUUUAUCACUAAGCGGUAGCGAUAAUCGUAGAAGCAAUAGAUGGCAUAACGACAACGAUGCUACGACGGAGAUCAAGGUGUCGCGCCGGUGACGAUGGUGAUCAUGACGGUGCUUCGAAGAUGGAGAUCACAAGCACAAGAUGAUGAUGGCCAUAUCAUAUCACUUAUAUUAAUUGCAUGUGAUGUUUAUCCUUUAUGCGUCUUAUCUUGCUUUGAUUGACGGUAGCAUUUUAAGAUGAUCUCUAACUAAUUAUCAAGAAGUGUUCUCCUUGAGUAUGCACCGUUGCGAAAGUUCUUCGUGCUGAGACACCACGUGACGAUCGGGUGUGAUAGGCUCUACGUUCAAAUACAACGGGUGCAAAACAGUUGCACACGCGGAAUACUCAGGUUAUACUUGACGAGCCUAGCAUAUACAGAUAUGGCCUCGGAACACGGAGACCGAAAGGUCGAGCGUGAAUCAUAUAGUAGAUAUGAUCAACAUAUUGAUGUUCACCGUUGAAACUACUCUAUCUCACGUGAUGAUCGGACAUGGUGUAGUUGAUAUGGAUCACGUAAUCACUUAGAGGAUUAGAGGGAUGUCUAUCUAAGUGGGAGUUCUUUAGUAAUAUGAUUAAUUGAACUUAAAUUUAUCAUGAACUUAGUCCUGGUAGUAUUUUGCAAAUUAUGUUGUAGAUCAAUAGCUUGCAUUGUUGCUUUCAUAUGUUUAUAUGUUCCUAGAGAAAAUUGUGUUGAAAGAUGUUAGUAGCAAUGAUGCGGAUUGGAUCCGUGAUCUGAGGUUUAUCCUCAUUGCUGCAUAGAAGAAUUAUGUCCUUGAUGCACCGCUAGGUGACAGACCUAUUGCAGGAGUAGACGCAGACGUUAUGAACGUUUGGCUAGCUCAAUAUGAUGACUACUUGAUAG